UUCCGAGGGCUCCUCCCUCUUCCGUUCGUCCGGUUCUCUUGGUCCUUCUUCCUCUAUUUUCCGAUGGCCGCUUCCGAUGUUGAGUUCCGUUGCUUCGUCGGCGGCCUCGCUUGGGCCACCGACGAUCGGUCUCUCGAGAGGGCCUUCAGCGAGUUCGGCGAGGUUAUCGAGUCGAAGGUGCGGUUUUCUUCUGCAGAUAGCGAUCUGAGUUUUUGUUGCUUGGCCUGUCCGAUCGGAUGGAUCUGACCAGGAGGUUGCAUGUUCUGCAGGUUAUCAAUGACCGAGAGACCGGGAGGUCGAAGGGCUUCGGCUUCGUGACCUUCAGCAACGAGCAGGCGAUGAACGACGCCAUCAAGGGGAUGAACGGCCAGGAUCUGGACGGCAGGAGCAUCACUGUCAACCAGGCCCAGUCCCGUGGCAGCGGCGGCUUCCGCGGAGGCGGCGGCGGCGGUUACGGUGGCGGCUACGGCGGGCAGCGCCGCGAGGGCGGUGGCUACAGCCGCGAGGGUGGUGGCUACAACCGCGAAGGCGGUGGUGGCUACUCCCGCGAGGGCGGUGGCUACAGCCGUGGCGGCGGGCGCGACCGUGGUUACGGCACCGGAUCUGACCGCUUCUCCAGAGGCGGCGAGGGCGGCGGCUCGGACGGGUACUGGAGGAACUGAGGCCAGUCCCGAUGUGGUCUGGUGUUUAUCUUUAUCGAGGUUCUUGUUCUUGAUCUUGAUCGUUUCCAUGUUCCUUCCCCCCGAGUAUAUCUCUGCGUUGUUCCCUGAAUCGAUCCACCAUGCCCUCCUGUCAUGUACGGUUGCCGGCAGUCAACAGAUGGGAUGCCAAUGAAUCAAGUCGAUCUAUCCUCCUCCCCCCUCGCUUCCUCGAUCUCCGAUCCGAAACCUACGCGAAUGAUCAUUCGGACGAAGAACAUCUCAAGAUCUGGACUGGAGCAGCCUCCGAUCAUUGAUGGCGCCCGCUUUUUUGUGGGACGAGGUUCUGACCUAGGGAAUCAUAGAUCUGCCUUCUGAAAAACAUUUAAAAUUGCUUGUCAGCGCCAUAAACGCGAGAUCUGUCGGAAGAUCGGAAACCGAGGAGGCAUCAAGACUCCAGGAUCUCGACCGAGUGGGAUGAAAUCGAUUGAAUCAAUAGUAUCAUUCAAGGUGGACGGGAAAUCGGGAUGAAAAACGCCCGUUGACCGAUGAUUCGGAGGCUAUGAUUCCAACGAGAGCGAGCGAUGAAUCAGCUCCUCUGUUAGAGCCAUCGGCAGCCCCAUCACACUAUCGGAAGCUCCAACCUGUGCAACCACCAAGCGUGCGUUCACCGAUCGAGAUUAAAAAAUAAAUAAUAAGAAAAGUGAAAUGAGACAGGAGCUAUGAGGGGAUGGCAGACCACUGCUUCCACAAAUGGCAAAGUCAACGGAUGCUCUAAUAAUAAACCGCCGGCAACAUUGAAGACGAUCCGCUCGCCAAUCUGAAUAACAAGAAAAAAAAUUUCGGAUUUUUAUUAACAUAUCAACGCGAGCUGAAAGAAAACCCCGCGAGAAAUGGAACUGAAUCCAAUGAUUUCUUUCACUUGAAAAAAAAAAGUUUUUUCUCCAGACUUUAAACCAACAACAGAUGACUUGGGGAACGCCAAAGUCAAAAUCGCAUCAAACCAGAUUCCUUACCAGCUUAGCGAUGAUCUCAUCAGGUAUAUCAUGAAAAUAUACCUGCACAUUGCCAGUAAAAUGUAAGCCAUGACGAAAAAAUGAUUACGGAAUGAAGGUUAUUCAUUAUUAGUAGUCAUGCAACGAUGCACACGACAUGAGAUUGGGCAAAACGAGCGCCAGGGCCGCUAAGAAACACAUCUCCAUAAAAAAUAAAAAUAAUGUUAAUCUGCUCUUAUAAAAAAAAUAUUUUUAAAAAAUAUCAUGAAGUAUCUCGCCUGGAGAAAGACCAUUUUAACUAAUUAAUUAAUUAAUAGGUGACACCGUAUUUACCUUUGCUGAGUUAGAUCUCAUUCAGACCGAAUAACCAGAGCGUAUAGCUAUAUGCUCGGUUAUUUCUUAGAAAUGAGAAGCAUUUUUAGUCGCGGUGACGUAAACUAAUAAUAAUAAUAAUAAUAAUAAUAAUAAUAAUAGUAAUAAUAAUAAGGAUAAUAAUAAUACAGAAUAAUGUGAUUCUUUUUUUUAUCACCACUCAGUUUCAGAUCACAGGUUUAUUUGUAUUUGGAAGUUGAACACUUGCUGACGGUUGUCUCAUUAAAAAAAAUCCUAACAGGAGUUAUGAGCCAUGCAUCAAAUCGAAUCGCUCUACCCAUCAAACUACCAUUUAUAAUUGUUUCAUGAGCCUGCAUUAAUCUAUAAAAAAUCACUGCAAUAAAAUAACGGAAGGAAACUAGACAAGCACAACAGAUUACCUCAGCAGUAUCCAACCCUUCUGUUCUUACGCCUGUCUUAAGGUUGGUAAUAACAACAGAUCCCACAGUUGAAACGUGACCCCCAGAGUACCCUGAAAAUAGCACCAUCUUUAGCAUUUUGAGAGAAACUUCCCAAUUCCAGCUGCUAUAAAUCGAUUGGAGGGAGAAAAUAUAUUAAGUAAAACCCUUGAGGAACUCCCAGGCCUCCUCCUCGCUGGAUGGCUUCUCUCUGAUUAUUCCUUUAUGGACGACCACCUGCAAAUCAGCUCUGCUUUCUAUGAUUUCCUACAAAGAGGACAUUAAAAUGAACAGAACCAAGCAAAUCUGCUUCGGCAGUCCAGUAAGAGUAAUAGUUAAACGCAGUCAUAAUGUUACAGGAGCUAACUCUCUCUGGUUCACCUCGCUGGGUACGAGUAAAACUGAAAGAAAGAGAUUUUAGCAGGAUUUUCUUCAAGAAAAAGGCACCUUAUUCCGAAAUCCUUAAUAUUUCCUUUAUCAAAUCCUCGGGUGUAGGCAUUAAUCUGGUGAAGUAAACAGGAAAGAAGAUGCAGCGGGAGGGAAACAGGAUGCUAUAAGAUCUGCCUGUAGGCUGUAUCUGUCUUGGCUUAUUCUCUCAAAAACUGACAUGAUUUCAACAAUGUAGGGACUGUGUUGAAUAACAAAUGUCCUCUAUGAAAUGGGUGAUGAUGAUUCAUAAAAUAUUGGAUGAUAAUGCACACGUUAUUAAAGGAAUUCAGACAUACAAUAUCCGACGUGAUUAACAGUGUUGGCUCAUUAUCCUUUCCUCUGUAGUCCGGAAUAUUUAGCCUUGAUAUGAUUGCAUCUGCCUGAAGAGAAAAUAGAAUUUGAGGAAAAUAUGAUGGUGAACUGUAUGAUGAUCAAGAAAAUUCAAAGAAGAUGAGGCAAAUGAAACCAUAGUACUGGGGAAAUAAAUUAAAGAAACUUUAACUGGGGGGUAGUUCAUCAUAACAUAUUUAGACAAACGUUAACCUUCUAGUGGGCUCAUCAUAAGAAGGAACUUACAGGCGAUUGGAUAUUCAUGGCUUUUCCUUGCGAAAGAACUACAAGGUUUAUAAUCAAACUGCUGAUUAGGGAAAUAUUAUGAAAUUGUAGGAAUAAAUCUUUUAUGACUGCAUACAGCCCGAGACCAACACGAAAACCACACUCUGAGGUCCUGAGUCAUAAAUCGAUUGAAUCCUGGGCAGUUGACAAACGCCUAGGUCUCCAAAAAAUCCAUGUCAGUGACAAGCUAAACUUUGACAGGAUGCAAGGCCAUCUACAAAACUUUAUUAUCCUUUCCACAUGAUCACUCACUAGACCCAUAUUGGAGGAGUUUAUUGACACCGAUCCUGCUGUAAGUGUUGCUCCACGCCACUUACCCAUCCUUUAGAUAAUAUUUCCCAUAUCUUCUCUGUACGAGUACGACAUAAAUGCACCCCCCAGUGCAUCCAUCCCAUUAAUAAACAACAAGCGUUUUACAGCUUUAUGACAGAGGUACAAAAGUUCGGUUGCGCAACUCAAACUUAGUUUGGCUUUAAAGAUUUUCAAACCGAUAAACGAGUACGAGUAAAUCACACUCAAUUUUCAUUGAAGAAGCUAUAAGAUCGUCAUAUAGUCCUUAUUUGAUUCACGACUUAACUCCAUAUUUGAUCAGAAAUAGGUUUCGAUUUCCUCAACACACUGCUACAACUAUAGGAGAAGUUUUCUGUUGAGUGCGACGGUAAAUUUCUUUUUGAUUUAAUACUCUUUCAAAGUUUUGGUAUUUUCAACUGAUAACUGUCUACCCUAAGUUGAGAUAUUUCCUUAGUUCUAUUUGUAGUGUGUUACUGAAUUUAUUACAAUAUAGAUCCUAAUAGACCCAUAUUAGGACCGCCAGUGUCAGUGCAUCCAUUUUAAGACGAACCCGAUAGACUCCUAUUAGGACUUAUGGUAUACCUCACCGUAUUCAAUUCAUGUUGGUUAAUCGAUUUCAUUUCUCUCCAUUGGUACUGUGCCAGAUCAAGGUGGCUAGAGUUCCUCUUGUGCUAGUUUUUUACGUAAAAGACAACAGGCUGAGAACUCCUUCGAGUUUCCAACCUUCAACACGAUGUCAAUGUUCUUUUUUACUCCUCUGGAUGAAAUAUGUGGGAUCUUUCUGUUUUCUAGGCCCUUGUUAGGGUUCCUCCUCUCCAACCCAUGGCCUCCUUUCACAGCCUUCUAUUUUAUAGUAGAUCCUAGGAGGUGACAUCACUGAAAAAACGCACUGGUCUCCCAUGGGGGACUUCCCCUUUUUCCACCACAGAUAGUCAUAGCCCAAACCCGAGCGACAGGAUCUCAUCUUCCUUGGGGGAUUUCCCUCUCUUCACCGUAGAUAGUCAAACCCCAAAUCCCAGACCAUUUAAGGACUUCUUUAAAGACGAGUUCUCCUCUAUCCCUUACUGUGCUUCUUGACGGAAUCAAGUGACAGACUGUCUCAUGCAACUGAAAACUUCAACUGAUUAUAAAUUUUAUUGCAACCGUCGAUUUCUUCAUCAAUGCAAUCAAGAUGAAGAUUAUGCUAUUAGGGCACAAAAAUAUGAUUUUUCUAGGCGGUAAACAAGUGCCAAUAUGGAGGAAUCAUUAUGAUAGUGAGGACAAACUGAACGUUGAACUUUCUACAUUCUAUGGAGAGCUCCAUAUUUAGAAUUCUAAAAGUUGGUUGCGUAAGGUUGAGUGGUUCCUUGAUGAAAACGUCGUUCUAGAUGAAAAAAAAGGCAAAAGUAGUACCCUCGGAACUAAAAUGAGCAGCCUUGAAAUAGUGGUAACAAUUUCAAAUGACAUAUUUACUGUAGGCAUAAUACUAGUUAGAUGAUGGAGAUGAACAAAACAAUGGAUGCGUGCAUAAAUCCUUUCCAGAGAUAAUGAAUAGAUGUUGUUCUGGCAAUUAAGUAAAUGCUAAUGUACUCUUGAAGAAACUGCUAAUACACUUUUCACGUUCAGUCUGAGCUCCUUUUUUUUUAUACAGAUGCUUAAGAGACAUAUAUUGGCAGCCUUUAAACUCGCCAUUCAAGGAAAUGUGCGAUGAAAGACAUUCAAGAAAUGAAGCCAUACAAUGGUUUCCAUCCGGCCAUAAAAUUGAAACAAUGUGGGUUUUAUACGAAGAGUUUGUUGAACCUUUUGCGACAACUUAUCAUAAGUGAUAUGUGUAUUUAAAAAAACCAUAAGAUGGUUCAAUACAGGAACAAUUUUUUUGAAAAAGAAAUCUUAUGCAUUAUUUAAAUGUGGUAAAUUGAGCUCCCAAUGUUGGUUUGUACAAUGGCCUCCUCCGAUAAUUGUAUCAUUAUGACUGGGUAUAUGGGCUCUCAGCCACAUUGAUAGUCCAGAGAGGACAUGAUCCAUAAGUGGAUCAUCUAAAGCUCAUUAAUAUGACGCGAUUGAUACUACUAGGAUGAGAAGAAACCUUUGUUCAAAACAUGUCCAAAAAUUCUUACUAGAGGAGCAGAUGUUUCUGAUCAACGAUAUGAUGACAACUUUGGACAGUUUUUGUAUGAUGAAACAGACAAUAUUGGUGAGGAAAAGUCGAAGAAAAUAUGCAGCGGACAUGUCCUGACAAUGUUAGGGGUUGUGGUGUGCUUAGAUGACUCCAUCACAUGAUUAAAAAAUCUUUAAGGAUUUUUCAACGCUAGAAAAUGUUCAAGACUACGUGCAUGGCAUUGGACUUUAUUUAUGACCAACUAAGACAAUAAAAAUGAAGAAAAUAUCGCAGCUAAAGUAGUAGUAAACGAGUAGGAGCUACAUGUAACGCCUUAUAGAAAAUUUGACACUAAAACAUGCCACUUAAAAAAUUUAAGACAGGAGAACCUAUAUGGAACUUUGAUUUGUGACAGAGUUACCUAGGAAAGAAAUUCAUACCUUUGCCUUGGCUAGAACCGACACUAAUUCCUCUGGGUUUUCUCUCCUUAUACUCUUUUCAUCAAUGUCUGCGGUCUAGUCCAAAACAAUAGAUUUCAUGUACGGGAUUAGGAUAGAGUGAGAAACGAGCAUACGCACAUGUUCGUGGAAUUUGAUUACGCAUGAGAAGGAGAGGGAGAGAAACCAUGACGGUGAAUUGAUAUCCCAUGUCAGCCAAGAUCUUUCGGCGUGCAACUGAUUUUGAUCCCAAGAUUAUCUGAGACAGAAAGUCCACCAAACUAUCAGAAAGAAGGACGGCAGUAAGAUACCACUUCGUUUUCUCAUUAUCAUGUAAUAAUCUAUACAUGUGUAUCUUAUAAACUACGUUAGAUUCCAAAAGUUCAUCAGGAACCGCAUUACUCUUCUCUCGACAACAACUUUCUCUCUCGCGUAAGUGAACAUCUGGCAAGCGACAAAUCCGUGGAACGAAUUUUUUGAUUCUGCGGGUGAUUCAGAAAGUAUCUUUGGCAUUAUGGAAUGAAGAAAGAGAUGAAAUCACUACUCUACUCUUUCCCGCCAACGUCCAGAACACCCAUUAUCAGAAACUCGGAAGCCGGAGCCCGAAGAUUCGCCAUGAAGUUUGGAAAAGGAACACCUCGUGAUUCAUCGCACGAAAGGUGUACCGACUCACGCACAAUUACACCACAAUUUUCUGAUUUCUCCCGGGAGCUUGGGACCGGAGGCGGAUUUCCAGACACAGACGAACACCCGACCAAAGAACCACAUCGAAAGAGCCACCAACCAACCUCGCGCACCAGAUGUCGCACUCACCGACAUGAAGAACCAUUUCCAUUCCCUCCUCGGGCCGAGAUCGAGAGAGCGGAGGGAGACUGACCUUGAACGAGGCGGAUUUCGCAGCAGCCAUGGCCCCCCGCUCCCCCAUUGAGCCUCAGAGCCAGAGGCUCCUCUGCUAUAGGAGUGGCCAAAAUUAUCCUGAACUUGGGCCUUCCAUGGUCAUCUGGCCCAUUAGUGAGACUACUCCACCAUCAGUCCAGGCCCAAAACACACCAGCCCAAUAAAAUAAUAUUAAGGAAUAUUUUAAUUAAGCCCUCAAAAUUAAAAUGGAUACAUUUAUACUUUAAUAAUUUUAAUGGCACAAAUGAUAUAUUAAAUUACCUUUUCGUUUGUUUUCAGUCCUCGUCGGUUCGGCCUUCGGGACCGCCUGAAGAGCCUCCUGUCGGGUCUGGGAAUGGCUCGAUAAGGAUCCGUCGGGCGAAACGGAGGCGCUGUAUUUCUCUGUGGAAGGGGAGGGAAAGAGGAGCAGGACGGGGGUGGUGCUCUUCGGAAGUCUGGGAGCUCUGUCUCGGGCGGGGGCGCGGCGAGAGCUCUCUCCUCCGCACCAGGGAUGGCGGAUGACGACGAGUUUGGGGAUCUGUAUGUGGAUGUUCUCCGCCCUGCUUCGGGCCCUCCUCAGUCGUUGCCGUCAAGCUCCUCCAACGAUGUCAGGCUCGGCAGCUCGAAGCCUGCGCCUCUCGAUCCCAAUUUUCUGUUCGGGGGAGACGAGGAUGAGGACGAAGACGACACGGGAGUUUUCCAUAGGGCUCCGGAUUCAUAUGUAAGUCCUACUUCUAGGACGUCUCCUCGAGGGCCGGGGCCGUCCAUGGUUGCUGAGUCACGCAAAGAAGGAGAUGAGGAGUGGAUGCUCGGGGAUGGGGGGGGCCCGGAGGGGCAGCCCGUGGAUUGGAGUGAUGGGGAAGGCGAGGGUUUGGGUAGGGUUUCAAGCCCCAAAGACGGGUACUCCCCCCCCGAAAGAGACGAAUUUAGGUUUUCGCUGGAUGAGGAAGAGGAGGUGGAGAGCACGGUUUUGGUGGCUUCUCACGUGAAGGUGGAUGAGGAGAAAGAUGUAGGGGUUCUCGAAGGUAUCUCGGCUACUGCGCCGGGGAAAAAGGGCUCAAGAACGAUGGAGAUCGAUCAUAGGGAUGAAGAUGUUGAUCAAGAACCUGUUAUUCCUGGUCUUUCUGCCGUUUCUCUUGCACCAAGUGCCUUCCGUGGGAUGAGUGACAGUGAUGAAAAAAUCUCGAGAAGUGAAGAUUUGGAGAGUGAUAGUGAUGACGAUCUACAGAUUGUUCUGAACGAUGAUAAUGUUGGGCGACCCUUUGGUGGGGUCAGAAACGCGGUUGUUGGCGCUGAGGAUGAGGAUGAGGAAGAAGAUCUGGUUAUUGUCACCGACGAGGACCAUCAUCAUCAUCAUGCAGUGGAGGAGCAGGACUAUGGCGACGAAUCAAUGCAGGCGCCUCUGGAUGGUGAGAGAAAUGAGGCCUUGGAGUCGUCAAAAGGGAAUGGGGGAAUCGGUGGCGUAGGGCUGAGGAUUGGAUACAACAGUCAUGGAUUUCAUGGCCAGCAUCAUUCACAGUUUAAGGUCUGUCAUCUUUCUUAAAUAACAGGUUGUUUCUGGUAUAAUGAUUCUAUCAACGCGUUUGUUUGCUCCUUUAUUCCUUGCAUCAAUUUGAGCUGACUUAUGGGACUCCGCUCAUUGUUCUCUUAAGCUAAUAUCAACUGCAUAAUGAGGUUUCUUUGACUUUCUGCAUGAAGCAUCUUAUUUCCAGAUAAAAAAUGUAUUUCAUGUUUCUUCACAAUGUCGUACUCACAGUUUUAUCUUCUAGAUAUGAAAGAUCUGUCUUCAUGUCUUUCUAUUUGAGAUGGCUUUAUCUUGAGAAUUCGCAUCAGUUCCAGCCUUGGCUCUAUCUGCGAUAUCAUGCCAGUAAUAGUUUUUACAUUAAAUCGGUGACUAAAUGGUUGCUUUUAUCUGUGUUUACCUAUUUUAUCAUUUAAAGCUUUACAAAAAAAGGGUUGCUCAUACAUAAAUCCACUAAAUGUUGGUAAAUAGAUUUCCAUGGGGAAGCAGUAAGCAUGUUUAAGGUUAUCUUCCCUAAAGACAGUAGUGUAUGUCACCUUGUUUUCAGAAUCUGCCUUACUGUAUCUUUGGCAACUGGAAAUUAACCAAACCUAUUAUCCCUUUCACUUUGUUGUAUAUCUUCAGAUAGUGAAUUUAUUUGGCGAGAAAUUUCUCGCUCCUGUCACCUAUCAUGUGCCCUUAAAGAUUUUGAUUUGAUCAUUCUGCUAGCAUCAUAGUUAAGUUCAUAAUAUUUUGGGUUGCGUGUCAAUUUUCUUUUAUGCCAUGACUAACUGUAUCUACUUAGAGAUUAUUCAUGUUUCCUGAUAAACCUCGGUUUUUUCUUAAAUAUUGUUGUUUACUCCUGAAAUAGUAGUUUAUUUUUAAAUCAGAUGACUGUUAUCGGCAAAACUGUCUUUUGUAUCCCGUCAAUUAAAAAAAUCAACAUGUUACAGAAUUUUAGAAAUAUUCAGAUGAUAUUAUUAUUAUUCCUUGAAUUUUUUGUAUGUAUUUAUAUAUUUUUUCCCAUUUAUGGUUCUGUAGAGACGAGUUCAUACAUUCAUUUUUCACCUUUUCCUCAUUCCUUCCUAUUUCUGAGAAGUGUUAAUAUACAAAUGUCUCUUGUUCUGGUGGGAUUUAUUUUUCCUAGUGUUAACAAUCUUAUUUCAGAAUACUCUUUUGUGAUUCUUAUAUUUCGUAAUAUUUUGUGAGCGUUUUGGACAUUUCUACUUUUGAGGUUGACCAUCCUGGUGCUCCGGAUCUUUUACGUUUAAAUGUUGUCCAAAAUAUGAGUAGAGAUCUGGUACAACAUUGAAUAACGUUUUAUGCAUUUACAUUCAUCAAGUUGGAAAGCAAUAAAAGAUUUGAGAAAUUGAUACCUUUGGUUUCUUAGUACUUUGUAACCGCUAUUUUUUCUAUCAAAAUUACUAAUCAACUGAUGCAUCAACGUGGAACUCACUUUCAUCUUUCUAUUGCUUACGUCCUUGGUUUGCAGUAUAUCAGACCUGGUGCAGCAGGUAUGCCUGGAGGGCCCACUGGUAGUACUGGAGCAACUUCAGGUCAGGCUCGUCCUUCACCUGCAAUGGGUCCUAUGACUGCUCGAACUAGAGGGAUGCAAAAGGGUCCUCACUCAGGUUAUGGAGGGCCAACUUGGGGAAGCAAUGCAGCACGAGCUUAUGGUAGUGGGUUGGAUUUCACGCUUCCCUCACACAAGUAAGUUAUAACGUAAUUGUGUGGCAAAUUUAAAUGAAGCAAAUGUAUUAUGUAGAGAACCUAUGUCCGUGAAUCUUGAAGUUGUGAUUGACUCCUUAAAUGCGAAUUGAAGGGAUGUUCUUAGUCAGAAAAGAAAGUAUGCUAACGGGGAUUUUGUCAAGAGAACAAGAGUUCUGGAGAUGUACUCUACAUGCUAACUUUCCCACCGACAUUUAUGGCUGGCGGUUUUUUUUCUUUCUUUGCAGAUUUUUUUGUUGAAUAUUCAUUUUUCUCUGCACAAAUCUAGUCUGCUUCUUAAAAAUGCGUUUCUGUUGAUGCGAACAGGUUAAUUGGUUGUUUUCCGGUCUCUAAAAUGUACUCUGGUGUGUGAAUACUGUCUCUUUCCCGCGCUGUUGUCCGUUGACUGACGAUUUACAGAUGCUCCCAUUUCUUUCUAUUAUUGAAAUGUUUUCUCGUUUCUAAUCUGAAAUUAGUAGUGUAUUGAUGAAUAACAAAUGAAUGCUUGUUAUUAGCAGUGAUAUCAUGAAUGCUUGCCCUAGGGCAGUGACAGUGAGCUGGCUUUGUGGGGUUUUUUUGGAGAGCUCCUAUCUCUUCCUCCCUGUUCUCCCUCUCCGUUGCGCAUUGAAAAAUUCCUUUUUAGGAACUUGCUUUAAAUGCUGAAUUUAUCUGAUUGUCUAUUAAAAUUUGAUGAAGGCAGUUGUCUCCUUUCAUGUGUCUAACAGCUGUUGUUCUGGGGAUUUUUUUUAGGACAAUAUUUGAUGUUGACAUCGAUGGCUUUGAGGAAAAACCAUGGAGACUCCCUGGAGUUGAUAUUUCAGAUUUCUUCAACUUUGGACUUGAUGAAGAAAGUUGGAGAGAUUAUCGAAAACAUUUGGCAAGAAUUCUUUUUCUUCCUUGGAUAUUGAUCAGUGCAUGUUACAAUGGAGAGAUAGGUGAAUGCCACACUGUUUUUCUUAUCUUUGACCGAACAAAAUUGGUUUGGCCCUGCAGGAACAGCUUCGUCUUGAGGCCACAAUGCAGAGCAAGAUACGAGUAUAUGAGAGUGGGAGAUCUGAGCAGGUAACGAUGCAUGUGCAUUGCUCGGUAGUAAUAGUCUGAUCGUCAUUGCUUUUCUUUCAUGAUUUCUCCUUUCAGGAUUACGACCCAGAUCUACCUCCAGAACUUGCAGCUGCGACUGGUGCUCAGGAUUACUCUGAUAGUACUCACCAUGGAAAGCCGGAUGGUGGAUGUAUCGAUUUAAUUGGCCCUGGAAUUGGAGCUGUGCGGUCCCACCCACAAUUAGUAUGAAUUGCCACUCUCUCUUUCUAGUUCCCCCAUGGCUUUUAUUGGUAUAGUUGUCCACUUCCAUCUUUUUGAAUUGAUGUACAUGCCCUAUUUACGUUCAUGCGUUCAUGUAUGUACGAAAUGCCUAUUUUCAUCAUAAUUUUCCAGUUAUCAUCUUUGUAUAACUGGUUCAAUCGAUUUGGAUUGUAUAAUUGGCCAUGGAAUUGGAGUUGUACCCCAGGUCUUCCUUUUAUGCUUCUGUUGAAUUUUCCAAGCAAAGUUAACUAGUUUCUGGAAAAUGACGCAAGUUUUGUUCUGACAAGAAGUUUCAUUUUAGUAGGGCCCUAUAGGCCAUAAUUAAUUUACAUUCAUGUGGAUGCCGUUUAGGUGAGGGGGGUGGGGAAUAUAUUAACUGUGCUUUGCGUUACCCCGUUUCUAUGAACUAUUAUCGACAUGCUAUGACCAAAAAAAUUGCGUUCACAAACAGCCAACGGGAAGGGCUAUUCAAGUUGAAGGCGGCUGUGGUGAUCGUCUUCCUUCUAGUGAUACCAGACGACCACGAAUGCGUGAUUCAGAUGCAAUCAUAGAGGUAUGCCUUUUUCAAGUUCUACAUAUAUUUGGGUGGGAGGACCAAUUGUUGGUUGGUGGAACUUAUGGUCAUCUUUGAAAAUUUUCUUGCAAACCAGAUUGUUCUGCAGGAUUCUGUUGAUGAUUCGAUCGCAUCCAAUGGGACCUUGAAUCAACAACAGUAUGAACGCGAAGGAAAGGAUUUUGGAACAGGCCAUGAAUCAGAGGAGCAUGAUAGGGAUCCUGAUUCAGAGUACUUGGAUCGUACGCUGCCUGCUUUUAGUGAUAGGAAGAGAGAGAUGAUAGAUGGAAAGGAAACUUUUUCAGGGUCUGUUGAGAACAUUGCCCCAGAAGGGAACGGCAUCUUGCCCUCUCCUUCAGAUGUGUCACGUCAGCGUUCCUACGACUCAAAAUCACAUAGUCCUAUUUAUGAUGUUGACCAUCGUGGUACAUGGCCUGUUGCAAGGUAUGUCAUAAUCUUUUGGGUAAUUUGUUUAAAAUAUCAAGUUUCAUAUCGUGCCUUUUAUUUCCUUCCACUGUUCUCGAAAUUUUUGAUUCUCUCCGACGAACUUCAGUCACUUUGUUGAAUUUGAUGCAUGUUUGGAUGACCCUUCUACUGUUUGCUAUCAGUAUUUGUUUUUUUCGGUUAAAGUUAAUUGAGUAUCUGAUCAGUUAUGAGAAAUAAUCAAUUUUCCUCUCCUGUUUGGUAUUGACCAAGCUUUGCACUUUGACAUAUCAAAUAUCUGCUGUUAAAUAAGAGAUGUACCUGCAGCCUUCUCGCUGUUGGAUGUGUGUGGAUGUGGUAGGGAGUGGAUAUUGGUGCAAAUAGAAUAUUAUUAUAUUACUGAGUGAAACCAAGCUCUUUAGACGAGGGUACAAUCUGACAUGCUUUUUUUUACGUUGUGCAUGUGCCACUUGAUUUGUCUUUAAGGAUAUUCCCUCGAGUGUAGAUGCCCAUUAAGGUAAAUCUAAUUUGCGGUGUCACGAAUCUGGGUUUAAAUUUGUUUUCUACAAAGUUUGAAAACACGGGUAAAUGAUAGUGACGUGCCAACAGAAGGCCCGAAAUUUUGUUGAAUGAUCACGAUCUGGUGCUGAACUUGAUGGUCUAUGGGUAACGUCCAGCACUAUGGCUUCCAGUGUAGUUAGUUGGCUAGGAAGAGGAAUCUGUUAAAAUCUCAUGCUACAAUUAAAAAUAUGACAGGCACAUGAAUAAACAAGUUAGAAUGCUUAUGAAUAAACAAGUUAGAAUGCUUAGGAGAACAACAAGUCGAUCCGUCAAUUUUGAGCAAAGGGCUGCAAGUUGCGUUUACACAUGAAUGAGUUAAAUUUUAUGAUCUCCCAUUCCUUGCAAGUAGACCUACAUUUUUUAAAAUUUCAGUACUGCAGUUUUCUUGCACCAUCAGAAAGUGCAUGGAUAGAGUAGAAUCUCAGACACUACUACAAAUACUUCUGGUAAAUUUGAUGCAAACAACGUGUAACAGCCUUGUUACAAAUAUGUUUCAUGAUUUGAUGAUUAUCUACUUCUUUUUACAGUGGGACGCAAGUUUCAGCACGUGAAAGAUACUCCCAUGCAAGUGACGACGGUUCAAAUGCUGCAAUUGCAACACAGAGUGAUAAUUUGCAAGUAGAUGAUGAUCUCAAAGAUAAAUCAGGAGCCAGCAAGGUAGAUGGAGGGGUGUUGAAAUUGUCACCAUCCACGGAGGAAACUGCUGGAGAGGUUAUCUUAGAAGGUGAAGGAGAUGGUGAACUAAAUGAAAGGCUGGUGUUGGAUGAUGUUGGUGAUAUUGAAGAUGAAGAAAGAGGUUCUGAUUUGAGAGACUCAGAUGAAACUCAUAAAGAUAAUGGCUCACACCAUGCUAUCAAGAAACAAAAGUUAACUGCUCAAGAUGAGCAGCCUACUGUCCAAGGUGGUGGGGCUGAUCCAAGAGUGACACAAAGUGGUAGUCGUAAAGCGAAAUCGUUGAGCAGCAAGGAUUAUCCUAAGAGGCGUGACGCUGCAGAAGAAGAAGUUCAACAUGGACGGUCGAGGCAGGCUGGAGAUCCGAAAAGGCAUCACGACGAAGAGAAACGAAGUUCCCAACGAAGAGAUGAUCAUGGCCGGGAUGCGGCACAUGUGGACAGACACCACAGUGCUUCUAAAGGAAGGCAAGAUUCAUCCCAGUCUCAUCCACCAGUGGAAUCACGUCCAACACAUCAUUGGCGCAGGAGUGAGGGUCUUGAGAAAGCAAAGGAGAGAGAUGUCUCUGUUGGUGUCCGGCAGAGAAGGGAGGAUGAUACUUAUGGAAGAAGGGGAAAAGAUGAGGACACAAAGAGAGACCAUGGUGAGGAGAUGGGGUCAAGGCACAGGGAUAAAGCUAGGAUUAGUGAAAAGAAAGGAAAAGAUGCGGAUCCUCAUUCAAGAAAACAUGUUGAUGAUGGAGAUCGAAAAGGUCAUCAUCGAGAUUCUGCAGCAAGGCAAAGAGACAGGGAUGACAUCCCAACGAGCAGACGUGAAAGUGCUGAUGAGCUUCAUAUCAAAAAGAGGAAGGAUGAGGAACAACGGAGGAGAGAGAAGGAUUCGAAGGAGCAUUCCCAACAUGGAUACAGGAAUAGGGAAGAUGGGUCUCUUGGUAAGAGAGAAAGGGACGAUGCCUCUGAUCACAGGAAGAGGGAAGAUCAAGUGAGAGACAACUCUACAAGGCAUCGAGAUGACAACUGGAGGCAGGGAGACAAAGAGGACCGACAGCGAUUCAAACAACCUCAUGAAGACACGCAAAAACACAAGGAAAGAGAGGAUCGGAGUGGUAGACUUGUAGAAGACAAGACUUCUAGUGGGGGUGGAAGGGUCAGUGACGGAAAUUCAUCUAAAGAUAGAAGGCGAUACCCUGAUAGAAGUGCAGAUUAUGUUGAGAAGCAUAAACGUGCAGAGCAUGGAGCACGUGAGGAAAUGCAGACGCAUGAAAAUCAGUCAAGUAGCAAGGAGAAGAACAGCAGGCAACAAAGAUCGAGCAGCAACAUUGAUAAUCAUAAAAGUGCUGAUGGGAAAAAGAUGAACAGGGAAUCACAGAAGGAGAGUUCCAGGAAAAACAGGGAAAAUGAGGGAGGCGAGCUAAAAGUGGGAACUGGAAAAAGAAAGCGUGGGGAUCGUAGUGGGCUCCAGUCUGAGAAGGUCAGGCCUACCUCCAAAUUAAAAAAUUGAAGUUAGCUUCAUUAUUGACUAAAAUAGAAAGCUUAUUUGCUUUUUCUGCACCUGUUCAGAAAUGUCAUUCCAGAUUAAUGGAACUGCGGUUGGAUUUUCAUUUGAUUAUUUGUCAAUUAUGGGUGUCGUCAGUUAGCCUAAUUAGUCUUCACCAUAACCUGUCUUUAUAUUUUCAAAUGCAUUAGGUUACUCUACGUAAAAUUAUAUUCUGAUUAACCAAACUUCUGUGCAUUGUACUUCAAUAAUUACUUUAAAUACUGCUUUGGUUUUGUACUAUUGGGAAGGAGAUGAAAAGCAUUUGAUGUUGAUCUGUGGAACCUGGUGAAAAGGAAAAACCUGGUGGACUGUGUGGUGGUGGAGAUUUUGGUACAUAAAACACCGAAACGAAAGUUUUUCUAGAAGAAUUAAAGACUUCUGAAUGUUCCGACAGUGGUUUGGAACAAUAAUCUCUGUUGGCGUUUCGAAUGUCUGAGGGUGAAAAGUUUUCCUUUCUUUGCCUUGUGUUGGGAGCUUCCUCUUUUUUUGUUUCGUUUGGAGCCCUAAAGUCAUUAGUUCUGGUGUAGGAUGACCUGAUUAUGACUCCAGCUAUCGUCUAUCAAUAUUUUUCAUAGCUGUGAUGUGCCAGGUUGAUUGAGGAAGAUGACAGUACUUUUUGAGGAGAACGUGAUGCUUGUCUCAAAUGCUGCCUUUUUGAUUUGAAGGUUUUCAGUUCUGGACAAGAUGGUGGAGGAACUCCAAUUUUGAAUAGAGGCCUCAUGACCUAUAGUGAAGCCUUUAAUGAUGUGGAGGCAUCAUCCCUAAUAAUUGAUGUCGGUUCUUACAAAGGGUAUUACUAGUGACUUAGUUAAUGGUUAGUGCUUAUAAUUUAUAUUUUAAAUUAAUUUUAAUAUAUUAAAAUAAUGUGUACUCUAACUCGUUUUGCCUAAGCUGUAAGGUGGUGAAUCACCAACUUGGUUCACCUAGGAACCGUAGCCUUCGGAAGGCUUACAAUGAAGGGAUGCUUGAUAGGACAUCUUGAUCGAAAAAGUUAGAUUCUUUAUUUCGUAGAUGUUGAUACAAAUAAGAGUGUUAAAAAUUGUAACAUUGUUGGCAGUUCUAUUCAGGACCCUAUGUCAUAGAGUGAAAUCGCCGAGUUUGCCAACCUAUAACAACCUCUACAGAAAAUUAUAUUCAAAUGGAAUAAUUUAGAGAUGGAAUUCAAAAAGGAUUUUUCGUCAGCUCUGACAUCGGACCAUAUGAAUUUGGAAUAUUUGUUAUUGAAAAAUUUAGUGUGGAAAGUAAUUCCUUAUCAGGUCAAUAUUGUCUCUUGUUAAGUAGGUCAUCAGAAACUUCUUACAGAGUUUUGAUUUUAAAUCCCGACAUGAUUAACGUGUGUGGUUUCUGUGGUUCGCAUCGGGAAAUUCUACAUCCACCCCGCUAUUUCUGAAUGAGGAUUGUGGGGCAAAGAUUUUUUUGUAAAGAUUUGAUGUCCACGAGGCUCUGUGGAAGUAUGAUUCUUUUAAUUUUGUGGAACAUGUUUCCAUCAGGUUAACAGGGGUCUCUGGGUAGAAUGGAAUGAUAACUGAUUUCCGCAAAGUCUCAGGUAUUACAAACAUUAUUAGCUUGGGUAUUAGGUGAGUUUAUUGUGGGUUCAAAGGGAUGGUGAUUGUAGUUUACCAGAACUGUAUGCGAUUGACUUGAUUGAGCGAAUGUGGACAUUAUAUUCCGUUUUCUGUUCUUUUUCUAGUGUGAUCUUGCUUGAUAUUCUUCGUUUGAGACAUGCGACUGGGCCGAGAUUGUUCCACCUUUUUUUGUUUUUCCUCGUGUAUACUGUGUUCCUGUUCUUUUAUUGAACAGAGAAUUUAAUUGAGCCAUAAAAGGAGUAAAGCUACAGCUUUGUGAAUUUUUCUGUUUGUUUCAACUUCUCCCAUUGAUUGGGGUUCCCGUGGAGACGUGCUGUUGGAACAGAUGUGUACGUCUCAUGUCUGUUCUCGGGAGAAGGUUUGAAUGCUAUGAGGUUAUGAUAUUAAAUGAGCAGACAGAUCCACAUUCCGGAAUACUCCGUCUUCCAUUUUUGAGCCACUUUGUUGUGAUGAUUAUUUACAUAUUUUUGCCAUUUUCUUUUAUUACCAGUGUUUUCCACUGGCUAUCGUCUCUAUUUCUUUUGUCCAUUUUGUGGCUUGAAAUCUCAUCGAUCCCUGUCCAGUAAUCUUAAUCCGUGUUUUUUGUGGUUCUUCCAUGUGGUAAUGUGUUAUGUCAUCUCCGGUUAAUGAUUAUCCUGUAGUGUUGGUUUAUUUAUGAAUUUCUUAACAGUCACUGGGAUCAUGGUGAAUCGGGCGAAAUCAGUGUAUGUGCUCUGGAAAAUCUUUCGUUUUCAUAGGUGGAAAGGUGGCCCUAUCCAGGAGCACUGGAGUUCAAUGCGUUCUUAUCAUUAUGCCUCAACAUGGGUGGGUUAUAUGCCCAUCAAGAAUGCUGUUAAUAAGUUCUCUCACGCCUAUCAGGAUGGGAGGUUGAUGCCCUCUAUAUUCCCUUUUCGGUAUGAUCUUAGAACCUCUGGUUCUUAAAUAUGCGGUCGUCCUGUCCUUCCAUAUUUCCCAAAAGGUUCAAUGCUCUGAACAGCCAUAUUCUGUAGUCCUCGAUGGUUUUCAUUUAAUAUCAGCCUGUUUGUGUCCUCGUUUGCUAUCAGAAGGUGCUACCUAAUAAUGCCAAUGGUGUGGAACAGCUUCUUCAAAAUCUCUGUUGAAAUUCAGUAUGAUAAAAUAUGUUGUAUGAUGGCCCACACUCACGUAGAAUGCUAUCCACAUCAUGCGACAUAUAUUUGGCUGUCCACGGCGACGACUUCAGUUUGGUCCUCUUUUUCAAUGGGAUGAGUAUCUCCAAACUCGAGAUGCCUGGUGCUGCCUAGUGAAUUUUUGCGGCACUAUGAUAAGCUGAUCUGACUUUGAAUCAUCAUUCUCUCUCAUUUUUCAUCCCGACGAGGCAGCUCCAGUGGUUGACAGUGAAUUGUUUUACAAAAAGCUGAUUUGAUUCUGUUUAAGCAGUCAGAUACUUAAAAAGCCCAUGAAAUGUUCCAUGAAAAGUUUGCACAUCUCAUUAUCUUGUUCUCAUGUAGUGCUUACGUUUAAUUAUCUCAAACAAUCCUCCUACCCUGGUUCUUAAUUUCCACUGCCACUGAUGGCGAUCCUCACUCUCCUUGUUUGUCUCUGUCCCUACUUAAUAUCAUGUCAAAACUCUUUUCCAGUGUCUCUAAAAUUGUGAGAAGGGAUGAGUCGUGAAUCACCAAACUUGAUAGAACAAGUUUCCCCCCCACCAUUUUUAUGCCCAAUUUUGUACAAUCCCUGCCGUGCCCUUGUUGAGUCAUCUGCAUCCAUCACAGGCGGUAUGCCAGCAAUGAGCGGCAUGCAGCCAUGGGGAGCCAGUGGCAAAAUACCAGGGCUGCUGUGGCACUCACGGGAGCCACUGCUGGUCUGGUGAGUUUUUUUCUUUCUUAUUCUCCCUCUGGCAUUCCCUCUUCCCCUUCUUCCUCCAUUAGUGUGAGCUGCGGCCAACUUCUAAUAGAGCUCAUCAGAACCUAUAAAUCUGUCCGUUUUACGUGAUUUAAUGCCCCUAAGAAUUUUAAUGGGUUCGUGACUUGAAGCACAGUUCCUCACUUGAAUGUUGGAGAUUACGUGGACGUGUUUUGGAAUCUCUUGAUCCGCUUCAAGCAAUCUGCUUUCUGUCAUAUUUACCUAGACAAGCAAAAGAGAGGACAAAGGCGCAUACUGUUUGAGACCUCUCCCAAUGUGAACAUAGCUCGAGCUUCCCCAUCGAUUGUUACAGCAAAUCAGGCAUAAAUGACGCAAUGUUGAAGCCGUCAAUCCCAUUUAAAAUUGGUGCUCAUCCUCGGCAAUUUCGGGACUGAAAAAUUUCAUGUCAGCUUACCACAGACGUUCUCAAAGUCCUAUUUUAAGGAUCAAACUACUUAGCUGCCGGCUCUUUGCAGGAUACAUGCAUUCAUGAUCCACCAGAAUUUUUUUUCUGAAUUCAGCCUGAUGACGAACGCACUCUGGCUUGAUCUAAUCAUCUUGUCUACCACUCGUCCUUUUGGGUGUCAUCCUUGUGAUAAUUUUGUACACUCCAUCUAUGAUGGGCAUGUAGUUCUUCAGCUUGAUAUCCUUUGCUUCCAUGAGCUAAAUAGGAUACAUAGUACUCAUAGUAGGACUUAAAGGAGAUUAGAUGCUGUCGAUUAUUAUAUUCUUAAAAAAUUAAAAGGCCACAGAUCUUUACCAACUUCAUUAAAAUUCCCACCAUAGGAUCUAUUUCCCUCAUUCUCCUUUCCAUUUCCAUUCAUUCCCCUAUCUUCCCUAUCUGUAUCCCCCGACCUCCCCUGUUCUGUGGUGAUUUUACCUCCAUACAACAUCCAUGCUCUUACUUUGAUUAUCUGUAGAGUUCUUAGGUUUGUCUCCUCGAAUGUUUUUUGCCAAGGUCUUGAAGCAUGCGAGUGGAGCCCACUUCAAUUGUGGACGAUUUGUGAGGGACUUUUAACUCGUUGACUUUCAGCUGCUAAAGCGGAGAGGAGACGAUUCUAUCAGCCUUGAACCAUCGAAAUGAGAGCUCCCUUCUCCUUUAAUGGGAGGUUAUAGUCUGUCCCAUUAUCAGGGGUUUCUGUCUCACUUCUCUGGAAAUUAUUAUGUGAAUGUGGACCAUCGUAGCUGGGUCCUUUCCUACAUCUGCAAGGAAUCAGUUCUCCCUGUUCACCCUGCCACUGUACCAUGAUGAUACCUGGUCUUCUCUGAGGGCAAGGUUAACUCCUCGGUUGGUCUUCUGGGGUGGAUAGGUUCCUCUUCUUCGGUGUUACUCUGAUGGGAAAAGUUGGAGUGAGGAGGAUGAAUGCACAUAAUUGGAAAUGAAGCUGCAUCCAGAAGCUGCUAGAACAUAGUUUUUUUUUCAAUUAAUUAUGAGGAACCCAUAAUUACUUUGCCCACCAAAGUGACAGCGUAUAAUUUUGCCACUCAAUCAUUUACUAUUUUUUGGCGAAAUUCGUAGAUUAUUUACUAAUUUAAUACCGUAACCAGUUCGUCGAAGGAAUCUAUCAAUCUUGAUCCAAGGUUGAUGCUUGUUUGGUUGCUCAAGGCCCUUACCAUGUGCUCGGAUGUUUCUGAUCAAGUUACUAGCUGUUUAUAGAAGCUAACCUACAGCGAUUAACUGUAUGUUUCAAAAGAAUGCAUGCAUCUUAUAUGCCACUGUUGGUAGAUUAGUAGCUGAUUGAGUACACAUGCUUACUGAUUCUUCACUAUUUACUUGGAUGUUCUUGAAAAAUUUCUGCCUGUUUAGAGGAGGAGCCAAUGGCGAACGAUCCUCUGGUUCGAUGAAAAACAUCCUCAGAGGGGUUUUUCCUCGGCCGAUGAGAUCAAAAAGAGCCCUGGUUGGUCAACGUCGCCGGGAAAUUCUCAUGUCUGCAAACCCUUGUGUAGGUGGGCUCGAAGGGCGUCAACGCUCGUCAAGAAGGGAGCAACUCGGCCUCUGGGUUGACCUCUCAGAAGGGCCACCGACCGGGGCACGAGCCGGCCGACAUCCAGGCAGAAGAGAAUGCAGCAGCCUCCGAUGAAGACGACCCUCAGAAUGUGAAGAGGGGGCGGUCCAAGUUAGAGCGGUGGACGAGCCACAAAGAGAGGGAUUUCAGCAGCGGCAGCCUCCAAUCUCUGCCCUCAUCGUCAAAGGCCGGGGAGGCGGAAGUCAACGGCAGCGAGGCGGCGGCGCCGCAGGAGCAAGUGGGCAAGAGCGACGACGCUGGCCCGGAAGUCAAAGGCGCCGAAGCUGGCCAGGCAGCUGAUGCCAGUGGGAAGGAGAGCGAUCGGCACCUUGACACGGUGGCCAAGCUGAAGAAGCGGAGCGAGCGAUUCAAAGUUCCUCUGCCGGGGGAGAAGGACGGCGGUGCAGCAAAGAAGUCCGAGAGCGAGGUGCCGCCGACCCAGAGUGAGACCCCCGUUGACUCCGACAUCAAGCAGGAGCGGCCCGCCCGCAAGAGGAGGUGGUCCAGCAGUUGACCGACGAGGAUAGUAGGGUCAACCCAUGUUUCCCUUCCAGGGGGAGAAGAUCUCUGAUCUCUCUCCAUUUCAGUAAAAAAGUCAACUCUGGAUAUCUCUGUGAUCCGCCGGGGAGCUCAGUCAGCCACCGCCACCUCCCCCUGGGGGCUUCCAAGCUCUCUCUCUCUGUCUCUCUCUCAUUCUCUCUCUCUCUCUCUCUCUCUAGACCAAAUCACGAGAAGAGGCUUCCAUUUCUGCUUGCUGUCUGGUCAGAAAUGUACAUAUUUGCCCACCAUUUCUUGGGUCUCUCUCUUGGAACAUUGGUGGUGGGGAUUGGGACAUUUUUCGCAUGUAUCCUCUGAAUUCUCGUCAAGUCAAACGAGGGCUAUUUUUGUAGAGCCGGGUUUCCAUUCCGAGCCAUUUUUCCCGACCUGUCUAUUUUAGGGUUCUUAUAUAACAAAAAGACCCCGACUUUUUAAAAGAUGUCUUCUUUGGUGCGAUUUGUAAAUUUUUUAGGGGGUUAUUUGAAAAUGGGCUUUGCCCCUACGGCCCAGCCCAUUAGGACACAUGUCUACUGGUAGAAGGAAUCGGAUGGGAAUAAACUGAGAUGUGGGCUUCCGAAUGCCGUGCAGGGGCUUUCGAGUGAUGGUUCAUCCCGCAGAAGUAUCUCGUUGCCAACGAACCUUCAACGGCUGAAGAAGAUCUCCAUCUACCCAUCCGCGGAAGGCGGAGAUGGCGAUCUCUCGGCCGGAGUCCGAGGUCCUCCCGACCGGCGGCGCCGAGGCCAAUCCGUCGUGGUUCACGCCGAAGAGGUAGGAUCCUUCUUCCCCUCUCGGACUCGCCUUCGCAGGCGCUGAGCCCUCCCACCGCACGCUAAUUUAGAACACAACCUGGCUUUGAAGUCACCUAUCCUUUGGUUCUUUCGUUCCUGUUAUUGUCUCGGGAUUCGGUGAUGCAUCCAUUUACUCAUCAUGGGGAGUGCUCGGAGUUCAUAAAUGUGUAGAUGGGUUGAAGUAUUGAGUUCGAUUAUGAUGUCCAAUUCCAUGGGAACUUUACUUCAUGGGAAUCCUUUCAUUGUUUCGAAAGUGGCCGAUUAUAUUUAUUAAAUGCGUUGGUGUCUAGCGAUUUAAAAAUUCAUUUUAAAAUAAAGCUAAAAUAUACCACUGUAAUGUAACUGAUUCAUCGGAAACUAUGACAUAAACCUGUGGGCAUGUCAUACCUUGGCCCGGUCGUAUAUCUUUGCCUAAGUUGGAAUGACAGCUGAAUAAUACAGUCAGUACCCUCCUCGCCUCCUCCCCCCGCGUAGACACACACACACACACACACACACACACACACAUUUAAAUUGGUAACAUCAAAGCAGGUAUCUCUCUUAUCAAUUGGACCGGGUUUAAAUUUUUAUGCAUUCAGAAAAAAAAUGCAAAUGAGAAUGCGGUAAUUCAAAAAGAAGAGAAAAAGAGAAUAGAUAAUGGAAAUCUAUGCUUUUUAGGGGUGGCUAAGAAUAAACCAAAAGGAGGCUAGAAAAAAGAAUAAAUACCUUGACAAGAGUAUACGGACUCGAAGAACGUUAAUUUGAUGCCAUUUUAAAGGAAUGAAUUGGCAUUUUCUUGAGCUUACUCCAUUUUCACAUUCAGUCAGUAUUUUGAAAUCAAUGGAAGAGAAUAUUUUUCUUUAAAUCUAUGAUUAUGUAUGUAAUUAUCUCGCUUCAUGUUUAGAUUGUCUGUUUUAUUAAACUUUCCAUUGAAACAUGUGAAUCUUUAAUAACUUUGAAUUUUAUGUCAAAUUCUAUUUCAAAAAAAUUGGGUUCCUAACUACCAUGUUUUAUUCUGCUCUUGUUCUAAGGUGUUGGAAUCAUGAUACGGUCGUUGAAUGAGAGAAUAUGCAUAAAAGGAACUUUAAUUUAAAGCAUUUACUUGAACACAAAGAGCAUUUGUAAAGAUGGACCAUAAAAUUUGUACAAGGUUAAUGUUACAUUCCAUUCUGAUUGCAAACAAGGUGCUUAGUCAGAAAAGGAAUGCAGUUCUAUCCUCUCCAGAUUGCAAAUUGUUUAUCUUCAUAUUCUUUGACCCAAAAAUUUUCAUUUUUUAGGUAGUAAUAAUGCCUGAGAGAUUUUUUAGUUAGAUAUUACGGAAGUAGGUUGUUUAUCCCAAUGAUCUCUGGUUAAAAUUUUCAUUUUACAUAGUUAUAUAUGAGAUAUUUAUAAUUCGUAUACUUAUAUUUUAAACAGUGCGUUUAUUAAGAAGUUACAUACGUCACUAAACCAUAUGUUUCCAUUUUGUCACCUAUCACCUUUGCUAUUACAAUUAAAUCUUCGGGAUACCUGGACCUAAACAUGGCAAUGCUUUUCAUUUUUGGAUAAUGUAGAAAGAAUAAAAAUGAAUGAAAACAUGAUACAUGUGCAUGCGCAUUAAAAUGUCAUUGAUUUCUCUACGUUCAUCCUGAGAAAAACCCCAUUGUUAGCGGUUGUUGUCUCUCUUUUAUAUUUAAAUUUAAAGUCAUGAUUUUGUUUUAUGUUAACAAUGUCUUAUUGCUAGUUCUUCUUUCUCGUGGAAUUCAUAGUCUUGAAAAGUGAAGAGAUGCCUUCCAUUUCAUUUUAUCGUUAUCUCAUUCUUCCCCAAAGGACGACGAGUUUGAGCUUAUCAGCCACAGGAAUCUUGGCUAACUCACCACUAAACUUUGUUGUUCUACAUAAAAUGCAGUUUAUUCAUUAUUUUGGUACUGUUUUGCAGGUUACUUGCAAUCUUUUGCGUCAUCAAUAUGUUAAACUAUAUUGAUCGGGGUACUAUUGCAAGCAAUGGAGUAAAUGGGAGUGCCAGAACAUGUAGCGAGAGUGGGAUAUGUACUGCGGGUAGUGGAAUACAGUAUGUAUUAUUGUGCUCUUCCUUAAGUCGUUAUAUUAUACUUGCAUAUAUUGUUUCAGAUAAGUUUCCAUGUUUCUUUGAUUGGUUUAUCAUUGGUUCCUUAUUUUGUAUGCAGUCCAAUGCUAACCUAAAAAUGAUUUGGUAAGAUGUAACCUGUUGGGUCAUGGGUGUCUGGUGGUUGGUUUGCAAUGGGAUUGAGAAUUAGGAUCCAUCUCCCUUGAUCUGCAGGUAUCUUGGCCUGGACUACCAGAUAUUUCCGCAUAUCACCUGUAGGAGAUCCUUGAAGUUGAAAUUGUUCUCCUCUUUUCCUCAUUAGUUUUUUUCCCCUUUCUUGGUACAAUAAGGAUCAUAAAGGCUAGUUAAUUGUAAAACACAUAACUUUGUAUUUUCCUUAGUAAAUUUUGGUCUUUGAGAAUCACUAUAGUUCCCGUUUCCUUUCCAUCGUGGCACUUAUAGGAGAUUAUUUAUGUCAAACUAGUGCUUAUUUCUUCCCUUAUUUGGCCUCUCCCGGCCCUGAUCAUUGUAGUCCCCAUUUUGAUGAAAUAUGAUGGCAUCAAAAAGUUUGGUUAUUAUUCUCUUUUGGAGGAUCUAUGCAAUGGAUAAGUAGAAACUGAGAUGUAAAGAAACACAAUUUCUUCUUGAUUUCACAUAAAGAAUAUUUGACGCCAUAUGUUUCUGUUCCAUAUGCUUCAUGAUGAUUUUUGACACAACAGGUUGUGAAAAAUAGAAAAUCCAGCCUUGAAUCCACAAUGCACGAAUUUUAAAUGAACAAACCAAGAUCUGAAUCCACAUAGAAAUUUCAUUCCUUGAAUCUUCUAGGACUUGUUGGGAUGACCCUUAAAUCCACAAGGGUCAAAUAUUCCUUUGAAUCCGAAAGGGAGGCGCUUGAACACAUAAGCAAAGAGAGAGGAACCUCAAACAGGUAAAGCCUCGUACUAACCAAGAAUGAGGGGAGGGUUACAACGUGGGGGCCUUUAAAUAGUCCUAAGUUCGGUUGUGACGCUCCUAAAAAAGCGGAUCAGUUAUAAUAGUACUUCAAAACAGAUUCAAAGCAUUGUAAAGAAAAUUCAGAAAUACAUGAAAAGUGGUAAAAAUUAACACCACUAGUCUUUGACGUGUUUCUCAUGUGUUUCGUAUGGGUCUAAUCUUAUUUGGGUCUAUAUUAUCCUUGUAACCCAUCCUUCAAGCUUCCAAAAGGCCUGGCCCACCGGUUUGGGCCACCUAGGUCAAAAAAAUUUUGCCCUUCUCUUUGUUUUGAAGUGAUAUCCAACAUCAAUUUUUCAUUAUCCGUCUAGCAUGCUGCUUUGACUUGAUGACAUAUUUUUUCAUCUUCAUAGCUGUUUACAGGUGUACAAAACGGACAAAUUUAUACCUUAAUAAAACGGAUGAGCACUUUGUCCAGAGCAUAUUCUAUAGUUUCAAUGAAAUAAUGGCUCUUGCUUUUCAGAUAGAGGAAAUCUAUUUUUAUCAUAAAACGUUAGUGCUGAAAGUUUGAUCUUUUCUCAUUCACUUGUUUCUUUCUAAAAUAUUUGGUUGAAAACUUUUGUUUGAAUGUAGAAGACUAAAUAGAAGUUAAAUUCUUGAUUGACUGCUUAGUUAUGUGUUAAAUGAGUGCAGGGGAGACUUCGACUUGAAUUACUUUGAAGAUGGUAUUCUCUCAUCUGCAUUCAUGGUUGGACUUCUGGUUGCUUCUCCAAUAUUUGCUUCCUUGGCAAAAAGGUUUUUUUCUUUAGUGAUGUAUUUAAUUCUGUUUUGCAAGUUUAUGGAGAUAAAAGGCCAUGGAUAUUGUUUUGUCAACAAUUACAAAAGAUCUGUGAUGUUAUUUUUUUCCAACUCUUAGGUUAAUGAAGGCGGAUUUUAGUUUCCGCACAAAAAGUUGAAAUCUACUUAGGGAUUUGUUCGUAUUGGUGUCAACGUGGAAAAGAAAAGGGAGGUGGGAUAACAUGAUGCUUUCUUUCUAUACUUUAUUCCUUUCCAAUUCCCUAAGGUGAUAAGGCACCGUGGAAGGUCGAAGAAGGUCAUUGACAGCCUGCAAUGGCUUUUUUCUUUGAAGUUUCCCUUGGAAAUAUUCCUUCAGAAAUUGGUCAUAAGAGUUUUAACGGAUAGUCUGUGUUGCCUUUAUGUGGACCCAGGAAUUGACCUUUACCUUGAGGGUUAAUAUGGCAGUUCUCUGAGUACGUCAAGUAUUCAUUUAAUCAUCCUUGAAUUAUGGGUGUUUCAGUGACAUUUUGGAGUUGGAUCCUGACACUUAAGUGAUUAUAAAAUGUUUAGACGAUGCUUUUGGCACGCUGCUGUGUGUGCCUCACGUGAAGAGCAUUUAGAAGAGUUUUGCUUUCAUUCGUUAUGUAAAAAUAGUACUAAAGAUCUUUAAAAAGGAAUGAGAAGGAAUAGCAUGUAAGUAAUGGUAAACAUAUGCAGCUGAAACAGUCAAUCAUUGGGAAAGUCGAUGUCUAAUGCAUGUAUGCACCUUGUGUCAUAAAAUUUGGACAUAUUUAUCAUAUCAUUUGUGCAUUUUCUCUGCAGCCAUAACCCGUUUAGGCUUAUUGGAGUUGGACUAUCAGUCUGGACUCUUGCUGCUGCGGGCUGUGGCUGUUCUUUUGGGUUUUGGUCCAUUACAAUUUGCCGAAUGUAAGUAACACAUACCAUUACCAUGUAAAAUUUAAUCCCUGAAUAAUCACGGUAGGCAUCAAACUUAAGCUCUAUCUUUCUAGGCUCGUGGGUGUUGGUGAAGCUUCCUUCAUAAGUCUUGCAGCUCCAUUUAUUGAUGAUAAUGCCCCUGCUUCUCAGGUUUGUUUUUUGGCUCGUUUCAUAUGCCAGCUUAUUUUUGUUCAUCCUUAAUUCGCUUUGAAGAAUCAUUUAGUAUCUUAGUUUAGAUAUUUGGCAUUUACAUCUCCUUGCAUACUGGCUACAUUUCAAUGAGAGAAAUUUCGGGCAUUAACACUUUGAAGGUUACAUUGUACAUAAUCCGGUAGGCUUUCAUCUUGCUCUAAAAUGAUUUUUAUUUUUUAUUUGGGAAAGUAUUCAAUUAGAAAUCUAUUCCAUUCUUUCAGCGAGAGAAUUCUUUGUAGUGUCCAGGCUAGAAUCUAUAAACAUCUCCACGCUGUUGAGCAUCUGCAAUAAGUACCCAGUAGUUUUGGUGACGCUGCGUACCCCUGAGUUUCUUUUUUAUUUAAUUUAUUGUCUGACUCUUAUGUUGCCUGAAGAACUUGUUUCAGAGACUUUUUUCAUUCGUCAUCUGCUGUACCAAGUUUGUCAGUCUGCUGUUUACCGGUUAUAAAUGCUGUGGAAGAUGUGAAUUCCUCUAGGCCUAACUGACUGAUUCUAGUUCUUGUUUAUAGCAUAUUUAUUAAAAUAUUCUGGUCUCUCCGUUCUUAACACAUAUAUCACCUACCGGGAUCACCUUGUUUUGCCUUGCGUUUGAGGAGUCAGGGGAAUUUGUUUUGUCAUAUUACCCAUUGAUUUAAUUUUUGUUGACAGAAAACAGCAUGGCUUUCGAUCUUCUACAUGUGCAUACCUGUCGGGAUUGCAUUUGGCUAUGUCUAUGGAGGACUGGUAACAUUUAUUACUAUAGAUUUCCUCACUAUGUAGAACUUUCUAUCUUUGGAUAAAGUCUGAAUGAAAAUUGUUUUUAAUUCCAUAAUCUGUGUUUUUUGUUUUCUUUUUUUCCUUGCAUUUCGCAGUCAUCCUAUUCUCUGAUGAAAAUAAAGUUCUCUUGCGAAAAAAGUGUUGCAGUGGUCUAUCCUUUUCCUAUAGCUGAUUCAUUCUCCCUUUGUCAUUUAGACUCAUGGUGAUCAGUAUGCCUCUGUAGGUAGAAAAUGGAAAUGUUGUUCUGACGAUAAAUUUUUUAUGAAGAUUCUGUUUCACAUUAAUUUUAAUCUAGAAAUAUUUUUCUUGGCUCUAUCAGUUUUUUUAGGUGGUAGACACUCAUUUGUUGGCUACAGGUGAUAAAGGCUCAUAUUUAUAAUUUUGGCCGAUUCAGCCUUAUCCUACUAAACACCAGGCCUCUCCUUACACAAUUUCUCUAGGAAUAUGGUUCCUAGCUUGGCACCGUAUAUUAUCAAUACAAAAGAUAGUUAAAAACAGUAUUCUAUGCUAUGGCUGUUGUUUCCCCACGCUUACCCGGAAACAUAAGUCUGUAGAUCCGCCUCUGCUAGGCCUAAAAAGAAAAUCAAUCGGUUCUACCCUUCCCAAAAAUAGAAGAUCCCUUCAGUAUUCUGAAUAGGGUCGACGCCCCACAAUGGAUGUAGUCUUCAUUCUUCUGACCAGCUUUGAAGUUUUCUCAAACGUGGAGAGUUCCUAUGCCUAGUACUUGUUCUCCAGUAGUUUGACCAAUUUAUUUUUCUGCUCUCGCUCAACCUUGCAUUUGCACUACAUUUUUUUGUGUGCUCAAGCAAAAAUAAAGUUAUAUCGCUUGUUUUUUCGUACGUCCUGAUAUUACUUAACCAUCAUUUCAAUUUUAUGUUUCAUGCUGUGCCGUAACCUACCGUGAACUACACACAAAUGCAUGUGAUUUGUUUUUCAGGAUCAGAUGUUUGGGAUAAAUUAUCUUUUUGAUGAUGAACAUAGUGAUACGUAAAUGUAUCUGAACUAGACCAGAUCAUGCAUGAAUUAUUGCUUCAUAUGGAUUUUCACCAGGUUUCUUUAAAUGUGUUCUUCAUAUAAAAUAUCAGGUUGGAACAUACUUGAACUGGCGCGUUGCAUUCUGGGGAGAAGCAAUUUUGAUGCUUCCAUUUGCGAUUUUAGGCUUCGUUAUACAGCCAUUGCAGCUCAAAGGUACUCUGUCUACACAUUCUUAAAUGGAUAGCAGCACUAUUGAUUAGUAAUACAUCUCCCUCAAUCUUUAAGUGGGAUGUAUGUGCGGAUUCCCAUGCAUUCAAAAGUUGCAUAAAAAGUUAUAAAAUGUACUAUAUGCCAAGUUUUUCGAAGUUAUUAUUUAGAAGUCUAUUGUUCUUUCCUCCUCACUUGACUGAUUAUCCCUAGUGACAAAUAAAGAAUCAGCCAUCAGGAUUUGUCUCAGUACCCAUCUUAAAUUCCGACCGCUCAGCAUAUUAUUGAGAUUUCACGGCUUCCUCCUCACUAUUUGCAACUGCAUGAUCAUUUCCUCUCAACUGUGUGAAGGGGCAGUUGAAACAAGUCUUUCCAUGGUUUAAUUAGUAGUCAUGACUCCUUCAAUACGGGGGUAGUAAUCUUAUGUUGUCAAUUUCAUGUGUGCACUUCCAAAUGAGAAAUAUCAUCCCAGUACUGAACUCGGUGCCAGAAAGCGUCCAUUAUGGAAAAUCUAACCCUCCCUUUCGAUCUGUUGUAAAGUGGCAUGGCGUUCUUUUCCGAUGUUAAUAUUGACUCCUUUUUUUUUUUAAGCUAUAGAAAUUACUGUAGCCUUAUGAAAUCUCAAAUCUGCUCAAUCUACCUACUGUGGAGGUUGCUUCCAAAUGUGAGCUCCCUAAUUCCCUGACUUGGCUGGGUUCAUUGCGACGGAUCUAAUGUGAUACUGUCGACUUAUGGGAGUGCAUCUCCCAGGGUCUUUCCAUAACUGCCAUUAUCCUGUGACAUCUGACCUUCAUCCAUUUCCUACAUUUCGGAGAGAUACUUGAUGCUGCCUACAUGUAAGAGAUGCUCGUGACUUCUGUUCUAACUCUGUUAAUACCUAUCUAUUCUCCUAAAACAUAGUUUCACAAUUCCUUAGCUAAAGCGGCUAGGAAAUGUCAAAUUGAAAUCUUUUUAAUUUUUUGAGCACCAAAUCCCUGUUCUCCUUUGAUUAUUCCUCAACGGGCAUUGUGUGACCAUGCGUUCCUUCUAUUCCCGUGACUUAAGAAUCUUAUCUUAAGUAGACUCUGGCUUCCAGACGCAUGCAUUUCUAUUGCAUUUAUAUUUAGAAUUUUUUUAUUACCCAUGCAGAAGUGUAUUCUUAAUGCUCGUGGAUUUUUAUUCAUAAAUUUAUGUAAAUUACUUGAUGUUUGGUUAUUCAGGUUUCACUUCCCCUGACACGAAAAGGUAUUGUUCUUUGAAAAAAGAGAUUAUUCCAGAAGUUCAAUUCACGUCAGGUGGGUUUCUGUUGACAUCAACUAUCAAUGAUAUUUUGUUAAUAUCCAAGGUGCUUGGAUAAGGAUUAUCUCCAUAUCAUACAACAUGAAUCAAUAUAUUGUUAUAUUAACUUCACUGCUUCUUUUUAAAGUUUCGAUGGUUCUAAACAAGUAUAGGAUACAUGGGGGGGGGGGGGGUUGAAUAGCUUAAGUCAACCAUUGGUGCCAGGGGAAAAAUUUUCGUUAGAGUACCCAUUACAUAUGACAUGAUAAAUUCUUCGAGAGAUUUAGCCAGUCCAUGAUCUACUCUCUACCCCUUAAAUUUUUCUUUGGGUAUUCUUGGGUACUUACAAUGUUCCACCGCAACCUUUUUCCGCUUACAAGCUUUACUCAAUAGAUAUCUUGUUUAAUUGCCGGUGGAAUGUAAAUAAACGCUUACAACAUUUUUAGAACUGCUGUAGUAUGCAUAUGGAGCGGUGGGGAUGCAACUCUAAAUGAUGGAAAACGUGAAUAACCAUGAUAUAUUUUAAAUGAUUUACUUCUGGGGGUUGGAAUUUGUUUGCAGAUGAAACUUAUAAGUCUCCCUCCUAUUUUGAUCUUUUAUAGUUUCAGAUCUUCAGUUUUAUGUAGAAAAAAGUAAUUUUCUAAAUUUAUAAAACAGUGUUUUUAAUUUUAAUGUUUUGUACAAAAGUAGGCACAUCAAAACUGCAAGAUUUUGCGCUUUAUAUGGUGUCAGAAUUUCAAUGUGAUAUUUUCUCACGUAUCAAUACGUGUUAGUGGGCUUCAGAUAGUAGCAACAACAAUCAGCAAUCUGGUAGUAAUACCAUCAUCUAUGGCAUUUGAACGUAGCAUGGGCCUUCUUCUGGAGAUAAGAAAACCAUUGGGAUAUCAUUAAUGGGCAAGUGAUAUCACGAAUAAAGACAGUGAAUGAUAAUGAUAAGAUUUCGCUAAAUGGCUUUUCAUGCUUAGAAUAUCCCCUAAAAGUUUCAUUUUUUAUUUUGAAAAUGAGAGAAUUCACGGCUAAUUCCUUUGACGUAUGUCAUUAUUAAUGGAGUUAUUCCCAUACAAUCUGAUACGUAUUUUCAAGUGUUCAUUAAUCUGAAUUGAAAUAAGCCACCUAAUAUUAGCGGGUGCCCUUUCCAGGUCCUUUUUUUUUUUAUCAAUGGUACAAAAUAAUAAUAUGAAUGUACUUUCUGCCAAGUAAUCACUAAUCUGAAUUUUGAUAACCCACCUACAAUUGCUUCGUUUAAAUGCUCUGCAAUAAUAAUAAUAAUAACCUCAAUGGAUAUGCUGCAACAUUCUGACCAUUCUGUGAACUGAUCCUUCUGAGGAGCUGCUACAUUCCCAAAUAUAGACAAUCAAGCAUUCCAUUGUCAUCAUUUCAUUUGGUAUGCUAAUUCCCGUCCUAUUGAAGCUCACGCUAGGGCUCAGGACAGGGCUCAGGGCACAUCUCUGAGGCCAGCCACUAGCCAAACCCUAAUAGGCUCUAGAAGGCUCAUCCCGCCCUAGGAGGAUAUGUUUGGGGUGUAGAGAUGGCAUGCGAAUGUGAUGAAGGUGAGUUACGGUGGUGGUGGUUGGGUUUGGCUUGGAAUAUCUUGCGGUUGUUAAAAGAUGAAAAACUAACAGUGCUAAUGUGUUCUUGUAGAGGAGAAGGGUGGAGUUCCAUGGGGUUAAGGUAGAAGAAUAAAACCGUGAGAAAACUUGGGAAGUGUUUUGGGCAGCAGAAAAGGGGAUGUUGUGUUGUUUGCAACAUGGUCAGGAUGUGCAUAUAAUGUGCCAACGUAUUACAUGAAUAAUAUAACGGCCAGGAUCUGUUGCAUCUCUAAGCCUAUCAUCCCUGUUGAAAGUGGUCUGUCUUUUCGCAUAAAUGUGACAUUGACGGUCCUAGAAUCAAUUUGUAACCAUAAAAUUUCACCCAUCAUGUUUUGGUUUCAGGUGAGUCUCCCAGGGAUGAAGAAUCGAUUGAUGGAGAGACUAUGAAGUCGACCUCGUAUGUCUAGCCCAACCCUUUGCUGCCGAGGUUUUGAAUAUAUAUAUACUAUAAUUUAUUAACAUGAGUGUCAUUAAAAAAAGGAGGACGGUUUCGCUACUAGCUUUUAGGUUUUGGCUAUUUCUUGGUGCACUGUCAUCUGCAGAUUUUUAGCUGUAAUUUUAUAUCUCCUUGCCUUGCUAUUUUCGUCAGGAUGUGUCUAGUACACCUCACGUGUCCCUCCUUAUAUACCUCGUGUCUUUUCUUAUAACUACAUGUAUGUGUGUCUAAAACUUUCUGAGGGAUCUGAUAUAAAUAUCAAACCUCCUUUCCGUUUGUAAAGGUGAUUUCUGACGAAUAAGAGAAUCAUUUUCUUUCCUUCUAUGUGCGUGUGUUACCAUACAGCGCACGGAACUUGAUUCAAGCUUGUACAGUUAUUACCUUUACUUCUACUCUUUAGACACUCGUGCUUAAUCUUAUUUACCGUUGAAAAACAAUUUCUUUCAGUUUGUUAAUUUGUAUAAUAGCUAACAUUUCUUUACCAAAAAUUAACGAGAAUACUAAUCGAGGUAUCAAUCUUUCUUAUCAGGAUAUUCAUCUUGAAUUUUUUUCUUUUAUCCAUUCAGUUUUUUCUUUGAAUUCAGAAGAGCACAAUUUUAACACCUGAUCAGCUUCCAUGCGAUUUGUUGCAUUCUUUGACAAAGUUUUCCACGUACAUUUUUGUCCUUUUUUUAUUGGGUUGUUGGGGGGGAGGUCGAUGUUGAUGGGGUUAUAAAUCAGUGACAGAGGUGAGACCAAAAAGUUGAGAAUGAUUACUUUAUUGAGAAUCUUUUUUUCUUUAUUUGUCUUAAGCACUAUAUUGCAUUUUUAAUGUUUAGCGUCUCUAUUUGCUUUAAAAAUAGAAUUCUGAUCUUCUCAUAAUGAUUAUGUGUGAUUCAUUUUGUUAAUGCAAGCUAUUUAAUAUGCGCGGUUUUACUGUGGCAGACCUAAAAGUUCUUUGAACAUUCUGAGUCAACUUGCACUGUUGUGGAAAGAUUUGAAAGUUCUCUUGCGUGAUAAGGUUUACGUCACCAAUGUAUUGGGUAAGCGUUUAGACUAUCUCUUUAUACGGCUGAUAAUCUUUGAUGAACCUCCAUUUUAUGUCCUCCGUACAAAAGGUACCAAAGCACUUCAUGUUCUUCAAAAGUCUUGUACAUGUAUCUAUAUCACUCGCAAUGUUUUAAAUGGAUGGCCAUUUUUAUGGAUGUUCUCUAUAAGUAUUAGGUCCACAGUUUCUUGAAGGAAAUUUUAUUCUUUGGGAGAUUUCUUUUUACUUGUAUUAUAUAUAUAUAUAUAUGUUGGCUAUGCAAACACUUGUUAAGUAAUUUGGGAUCGAUAUUUAUUUAACUCACUGUUUUUCUCAGGUUACGUGGCUUACAAUUUUGUUAUUGGUGCCUAUUCGUAUUGGGGUCCAAAAGCUGGCUACGCAAUUUACAAUAUGGUAAUGCAUUGGAUGAGCAAGGAGGGCUCUAUUUAAUUUUCUUUUACAUAUUUCAUGAGAUUUUUUGAACGGUACAUUUAUAAUAGGGCAUCCUUCAUUUUAUUAUCCGAUCUUUCCAUUCACGAUUUUUUGUUUGAACAAAAAUGAAACGCUACAAUGCGUAUCUUCACUUGCAAGCCAACUUUGGGGCCUUGUAACAGUGAGAACAAAAAGGGAACCAAUAAACAACUUAAAACCAAAUGACAAUUAGUAAUGCAAGACUCAUAUAUACACUUUUUGCAUUAAUCAAUAUGAUAUUAUUUCAAUGUUCUCAUAUGUUUAUCUUUCCCAGGAAAAUGCAGAUUUGUUAUUUGGAGGAAUAACAAUAGUAUGUGGGAUCUUUGGGACACUGGCCGGUGGUUUUAUUCUUGAUGUCAUGGACGCUACCAUAUCCAACGCUUUUAAGGUAAACCUUAGAUAUACAGGCGGAUAUUCUUGUUUGUCAGGAUUUAUGAUGUUGAUCACCUACAGCUGGUACAGGAUAAAUCUUUUUCGUUGUUUUUUGUUUAUGUCUUUGAAAACGAUUAUUGAAACGGUUCUUUGAACUUUCUUUUUCCAUUGCAGCUACUUUCUGGAACCACUUUUAUUGGGGCCGUAUUCUGUUUUGGUGCUUUUUGUUCAAGGAGUCUUUAUGGCUUCAUACCACUAUUUGCAGUUGGGGAGCUGCUAGUUUUCGCAACACAGGUACUGAUUCCAUAUUUUGAUAUCAAUUUCUUCACACGACGCGUUGUUGUGGUCUCCCUCUGUUGUGACAGUUUUCCCUUUUUAAUUUAUUACAUAAGAUUAGAUCUAAGGUUUGUGCCUUUUAUGACCUAUCAGUCUCUUGUUUUUGAGGAUAGAAUAGACCUGAUUGUGAAGUUCCUGAAUUAGAAUAUUUGGUUUCUUGCCUUACUUUUUCCUGGAUUUAACUAUUUUUUUUUCAUCAUUCGCUUUUCAGGGCCCUGUGAAUUAUGUUUGUCUUCAUUGUGUCAAGCCUAGCUUGAGACCACUAUCAAUGGCCAUAUCUACUGUUUCCAUCCACAUAUUUGGUGAUGUACCAUCUUCACCUUUAGUUGGGAUUCUCCAGGUUUGUCCUAUGGCUUCACAGUUAAUGUGCUUAUUUAUUUGAUGGUUUCUUCUCCUGAUGCAAGAUUAUACAUUUGACUCGUGAGCACUCCUAUGGAAUUUUAUUAAACAAAUACGAUCAUGUUCAACAUAUUACAGGAGCAUUAGGUUCACAUUAGAAAUGGGUCCCUUAGAAGAUCUUUCGAUUGUUUGGAAAAAGCCUAAAAAAAUAAGAAUUCAAAUUAGUAAAUGAUGCAAAAUCCUCUUUCUAGUUGUUGAAUAUUUCUAAGUGUUUAAAAGCUAACGAAGAUCAGAGCGUAACGUGAAAUGUUAUUGGUAUAGCCAUAAUUUUUUAAUACCAGUACAAGAGGGAAAAAUUGGUUACAAUGGAUUUCUUAACAUUUUUAGAUGCAAAUGACAUGCGGAGAGGCAGGCAGAGAAUCGAGUAGACAGUUGAGGAGGAGAAAGGGGUUUUAUUCCGUUGUUGGUGACCAGUAAAGAAAAAAAAAAGGGCAGGAAUCGCAAUAGAGGCCAGACGAUGCCAGAGAAAUAUUUUGUCCCUUGUGUUUGUAACUUCCAAGGUGCUUUAGAGUUUGAAAAGGAGAGCCCACAUGACCUGAAAAGAGCUGAAAAUGGGAUCAUCUGCGCCGUCAAAGGAUGUGCAAAGCCGCCUAACCGAGGGGAUAGUGAAGAAUAUCUCGCAUAGUGGUUAUUCUAGAUGAGGAUAAAAAAGGGGAACGGAGAAGAAGUUCAAUAUUGUGAGCAUGUGGCUAUUUUUUAAACAAGGGGAGUGAGAACCAUACUAAGGCAGAUAAAAUCAGUCCAGGGCGUAGAAUAAUGUACAAAGUGCUUCUUUAUGUGGAGUCUUUCUGCUCUUACUUUGUGAUUUUUGGAAAAAAACGGAGCACCUCCGUGCCAAGGUCCUGUUGAUAUAUGAGCUUGGACAAUGCUUUGGAGUGAGUACCGAGGGACAAAAGAACACAUGCAUGAAUUCUCUAAAUUUCUGUAGUGAGAUAGUGUUGGAAUUAUAGCCAUAGCUGCCAUGCAUAGAGCCAAGGAUUAUAAUUCAGAUGACAAAAAAAAUUCUCUAGAAAAAAAGAUAAAUGCUUUUUCUUUCAGGGGAUCUUGUUGUGGCCUCUUAUCUUAAAGAUAUCCUCGAAGUGUUUGAAGUCAGCCAAUGUUCUGAGAACUGACAUCCAAUGAGGAAUUCCAGAAUGAUUAAACUUUAAACGGCUACAGGUCUCUUCUGUGGAUUAAAACGUCCCAAUGUCUGUGUCCGUGGAAGUUACUCUUAAUGCGGGACGCAUACUUUUCCUAGUAUCUACGAUUUUUCCCUACAUAUGCUUAAUAAAACGGCCAAGAGUCGCUGCACAUGUCUGAUUGACUAAACCAUUUGUUUUUCUUAGAUUUUAACUUGAAGCGCCUCUUAAUGGGUUAGACUAUCCACCAUAGAAAUCGAAUUAAUGGAAAGUCUAUGAUUAGGGCGUUUGCUAACUAAAUCAAAUCUCCGUUUCCUUAAGCAUUUAGUAGACUCCAUCGACUGAUUGUCUCCUCGAAUUAUAAGUUGAGUAUAAAGGAGCUUUAAGGUGGAACUGUGCUUACAAGAAGCAAAAUGCUGAAGAGUUGUUCCUUUAGAUGGUUUAGGAAUUUGUGGUUAAACUUUUAUGUUGGGUGGCCAUUCAAAGGACGUGAAAUAAAAAGUUGUAGAGCAUGCUUUUGUAUAAUCUCAAUGGACUUCGUGAAUUAAUGCAAUGGUAACGUGGUCCCUGAUCCAUUCAAAUAGAAUAAUAACGGUGAAAAUUAGGAUUUUUUGCAGUGUUUUGGGCCGCCUGGAUUGAGUGAAACAGGAAAAGAUUUCCGUAGACUUUAGCAGAUUAGCAGAGAAGCAGAGUCAUCCUCAUCCAUUUAAGAACGUUCAUUUCCUGCUGGUUUUGAAAAAUCAGCAGGAACUGCUAAUGCCUGCUAACUCGCAUGUUCCCACUUUUUCUUCAUUCUUACAUUUCUGUUCUAAAUACUUGCUAAACCAGAAGUUAAGGUAUUUAUUUCAAAUUUUGGAACUGGUGCUGGUAAUUUUGAUGUUUCCACUGGUGCUAAAGAAUCUUGUUUUUUUUUACCUUAUCUAUAAUGAAAUAUCAGGGAAAAUAAUAGGGGGUGGGGGCGCCAAGAUGCGGAUAAGAAAAGAAAUCGGUGAAAUGCAAAUGUCAAUAAAAACCAACAUAAUGUAGAAAUACGGAGUAAAUCUACUUACGCUCCUGUCUAUGCAGAUGCAAAGGGAGCCAGUGAAGAUUUUAUCAAAGGAGCUAACUCGCAUUGACUGAUGGAAUGCCAUCUAAUUUAUUGAUGUCUUUCUUGGAACCACUAACAGAUCGAUGUAUUUGUACCAGAAAAUUGUUGAUUCUUGCUUCAAGCGUUGACAUGCUCGUUUAAUCGAUCCUUUCAACUUCAGGACUAUGUUAACGACUGGAGGGUGAGCGCUCAAGUUCUGACAUCCAUUCUGUUCAUCGCAGCUGGGAUCUGGUUUAUAGGUAUGCUUCGUUUGUCAGUUCCAUGCAGUGCAGCAUCUUUUCUUGAAAGAUCAAAAGUUUCCUUUUCUGCAACGUUUCCGCUGAGUUCAGUCCACUAUGGUAUAAAACCCCUGUUCUUGCCAAAAUGCCUUCAGAUAUUAUUAAAAUGGGGAAAAAAUGGAAUUUUCCUUUUCCUUGUUCAUCAUUAGAAUAGGGAAGCCAAAAAUCAACAGAAAUGCCCAUUCACAGUUAAUUUGCUUUGUGAACGAGACUGAUCAUGAAGAACCUCUUCCCACAUUUGGCAGGCGUCUUUCUUCGAAGUACAGAUAGGUCCAAUGAAGUGAGUGCACAUGGCGCCCCAGCUGCCGACAGAUCGCCAUUGCUUGAUGGAAGCCCUCUGGAAACAACAGAGUCUGCUUGAUAUGGUUUCCAUUUAAGGGCCUGCAUCCUGCAAUGAGAUCUGCACCGUCCAAUAAGAGGAUCAGACGGCCCGUCAGGUGAUUGGAAGCUACUUUGAUCUCAUUCUGACUGGCAGAAGGCUCGCGUUUGCGUUGACACAGACCAAAACGGAGCAUCCUCAAGCUCCCCCACCUGGGUUUCCAUUGCUUCUUACAACGGAGUUUGGAGCAAGGAAAAAAAAAAAAGAAAAAAAACUUGUCCAUCUCCACUGUACAUGUUAUCUUUUCUUGGUUUAAACCGUAAACCUGCGUCUGUCUGUGUAUUUAUUACAGUAAUUUCUGGUGCAUGAUCAAGUGAACAAUAUUGGAUGAGAUUUUCUGGUCUGGGCAAACCCAUUUGGGGAUUGGAUGCAUCACACGUUUAGAGAACCCAUGGAGUCAUUUCAAAAGAAAAUAUAUCUGUAAAUGGAAACUUUGUCAACCGCUUGGAAUGGGGCGAUUACAGGAAAAAUGGUAGAACAAUGCAUGUUUUUAUUCAGUGGACUGAGAGCUGGAGAAGGGUCGCCUGACAAGUCAACUCAACUAAUUUGUCAAGCCAAGGAUAGUUCGCCCGCAGGAACGGAUCUUCUGACCAAUUUUGCCCACGACUCGUUUGUUUCAGCGAUAACCUUCAGAGCGUAUUCCUGUUUCCCCAAGAAAAAACGGAAGAAAAAAACGAUUAAAAUUUUAAUUAGAUGCAAGAGAGGCAGGAACAGGCAAGCAAGUUGAGUAUAAAUAAUAUUUAAAAAGCUAAUAAAUCUGAUUAGGCUGGCAAAACCUGUGCGCUGGAAACGAUUGAUGGGUUUAAUUAUACAGAACAGAAGGCCCUGUUUACUAGAUUUAAUUAAAUGCCGGAUCAGUAAGGCAGUAACGGUGGUGGGGAGUGUGGAACAGAGAGGGCUUAUUCAUGGAUCUUCGUAUGGUUGGAGUCUUUGAAAAGUCAACGCCGCCUAAAGGAACACCAUGAAAAAUACAAUGUGGAUGGUCUCUCCGGAAAGCUUAUUAAUCACAUACAUGUAGAUGGGUCGCUCCUUUUAAAUAAAUGGAUGUAUGAUGAAAUCCUCUUUUCAUAAACAUGAAUUUGAUUAUGGACCAAUCAAAGCCUGAUCUUUCCUUAAUUGUGCUUGUUUUGGCCCAGUCAGAAUUGAAGUUGACCGAAAUACUCUAAAAAGGAAAGGGUCAAACAGUGUGCACAUCACCCACUUCUUCCAUCAUUUGGAUAUAAUGGGUCUUCAAAAUCACCAGUUUGAGCACUGCAGUUUGGCAUAUAUUUUCUACCAAAAAUGUCAUAUUCUAAAGAGAGUAAAUGCCACUUGACCUUCAAAUGACAAGUAGAGCAGUGACAUGCACAUUCAAGCAUCUGUAUCCAUUGAACAAGUAUUCAAAAGCCUUGUACAGACAGAGGUGCAAAGAAGGACCAUGCUUGAUAGAGGUGCUUGCUUUGUAAGGAAAGUAUGAAGCAGGCAUAGAGCAACUUGAUAAAUUUGGGAGAAACCAAUUGGGUAAAAAAAUGGUACCUUGCUGGCUGGCUUAUUGCCCAGGCCAAAGUUAUUGGCAGGCUUUCCAUCUGGGAUCUUGUAGUCUCUAAACCAAUCCCUUAUGGCAGUGAGAGUCCCCUAAAUGAUCAGUAAAAUAAUGCAAUUAAUUAAACCAAGAAGCUUCUGAGAGAAUUAAAAAAACUUGGCAUCACCAUCUAUGCAAGAAACAGGCAAGUAAACGGCACUCUACCUCACAAUUUCCAUACUCGUAAUUAUGGUCGACAAACAGCUAAUUAGAAAACUGGUUCCAACCCAAAUAUGAGCCAGAAAAAUAGAGCAAACCAUCAUAAACUAGAGGUUCUAAAAUCAGUGAAGGGGCAUGAUUCAAUCAGUCAAUUUACAGGACGCCCCAUUAAUCGAGGACCAGCUUGGAGUGAGGAAUGAAAUUCCAUAGUUGAGUUGUAUAUAUAAAACCAAAGCAAUAUUAUUGAGGGUAGAUCAUUCAGAAGCUACUCUGGUGACAUGAGCAUGAGAUAAAAAUAAAAUAAAAAUGACCCUAGUUACAAGAAAUGAUCCUCGAAGUAGAGUAUGUAGCUAGACACUCCAUAAGCUUGGAGUAUACACCAAACACAAGUGGAAGCUUGUAGCUGAUGCAACUCAGUAUUAUUUUCCACAUGAAAUAAAUGAAUAGCAUGACAUUAUUAGCGCAAACAUCAUGAUGACAACAUAAAAUAAAUCCAUGGAUGGGGUAAUCAUCUAAUCCUGGCAAGGAAGAUGUAGACGCCCACUGGAAUUAUAUUUCCAAAAUAAGGGCCUUUCACUUCAGGUAGGUGGACUUAAAAGAUUAAUACAGUUUCUUAGAAUAUCAUGUAAAAAGGACAUUAGGCAGUGGAAAUGGAAAUGUUAUACUUUAAGCCAUGUAAUGGUUAAGAAUUCAAAUUGUACCGGAAAAUGCUUUUCAACAUCAUCGACAUCGUUGACGAGUGAAGCCCGUGGGUCAUCCAAGGAAAUAGCAACUAUCUUCCAAUCAAGCUCCCCUUCGUCAAUCAUUGCCAAGGCUGCCAAAGGUUUGACCUUGAGAAUCUGACCGAUCUUCCCCCGAGCAUCACCAAUCUCCACAACAUCAACUAGGAGCAGAAAGGAGAGAGCAACCAGAAGAACAUCAGAGACUAUAAAUAUUUUCAUUCAUCUGUCGGAGCAAAAGAAAAACAGGAAGACCCAUAAGCUACCUGGAUCAUUAUCUCCAAAGGCCCCGUCAACUUCUUCAUUUGAAAAGGAUGGAUCUUCCCAAGUUUGAGGAAGCAACCCAUAAUUCCAAUUUAUGUUGUACCUGUUAGUAUAAUGAAGAUAAUUUAUAAUUAAAUCCACAACAUCCGACGGAAAGAUGUUCCAAGAAAAUCACGACAGACUUAUUAUUGAGAUAUUUCCAAAAACACACACCAAGUAUGUGGACACAUGGUAGAUAAAUUCAAAGAUCAAAUAAAAUAAGUAUUAAGAAGGAAUACAUGUAAACGUACUGAGAUAUAUGUAGAUGUAGAAAACGAUUGAAACCUCUCAGAAACCACAUUCACGAUGAUGUCUCCUUGAUAAUCUCAUGGGCACAUAGUCAGAUUUCCUAAUUUAUAAUUGCCCAUUAGUAAGCUUAAUCACAUCAAAAACCUCUAGACGCGACUCAUUACAAAAAAAAUGCCACAAUCAAUACAGGAGCAACUCCAAUAAUCUGCAAUGUAAAGCGAGUUCAUGAUGACUGAUGCUGCCCCUUUUCUAGCACGAAGAACUUGAUUUUAUCCUUGGUUAAAAAUAAACAAAAAGCCAUCAUCUAAUCACAUAACUUUACAUGAUCCAGUUAUGGGUUGGAAGAGAAAAGAAGGGGAAAAAAAAUCAGUUUAUCAAGUUCCAACGAUUUCCUUGGUUGAGGAGAGUGCGAGAGACUCACGGGUAGUAUCGGAGCUUCCCCUUCUUCGUAUCUUGCUUGAUCGGGGUGAACGGUUCAUCCGUCGCCACCUCCAUCUUCGCGCUCGUCUCCUUCGGUAUCUCGACGACGAAGCUGAAAGCUCCGUCCCCCAAAUGGAGCGGGAUAUCGUGCCAUGGGGAAAUCUGCGAAGCAAGCAACCCCAUUCCAUCCCAAACCCACCCAUCAGUCACGUAAACCUAGAGAGAGAGCGAGAGAGGAAGAGGGGAAGGGCGACGUGAUCGUAGAAACCUUACCUUCUUACCGGAGCCAUCGAGGAAGAAGACGCGGUAGUCAAGAGUCUCAGGCUGGCCCUCCUCCUUCACCUGGAUGUCCGGCUGGUAGAGCGCCCUGCAGGCCUUGUGGAGAGCCUUCGAUCUCAGGUGGACGGCCCCAGGCCUCGCGGCGAAAGGGCGCCUCUGGAACAGCAGCCCGCACUUCCCGGCAUGGGAGCCCUGCAGCGCCCCCGCAGCCGUCAGAACCCUAGCAGCCGCCGCCAUCCCUAUCGGGCAACCCGGCAGCAGCUCUCUCUGAACUCCGACAACCACAGAAGCUCUCCGCCGCAGGUACAGCCAAAUCCGCCCCGCCAUGGCCGGGAGCUAUAUAGCCCUUCGCCGAGCUCUAUCUCCGCGGAUGACGCGGCGACCAUCCAUUGGACGACAACGAUCUGGCAGAAAAAUCGUAACUGUUUAUUUUAAGCCGAUCAACAGUAUCUCAGUCGCUUCCAAAUCGUUGUUGCUUGCAGGAAUAAUUCGAUUAAAAUUAUUUCCGAUCGCAAAAAGCUUCGAUCACAUCAAGCUUCCUCUACCACCGGCGGCGACGAUCUUCUCCGUCGAGGACGGCGGCACCGCCGGCCACUGGGUGCCGCGCCGCCGCGGACCACCGCCUCCUCGCCGGAAGAGAAACCGUCGUCGCCGGCCACAGUGACCGUUGCGGCGGACCGAGGAGCGUUUUUUAUUCAAUUAAAAAGUCAACCAAGAGAAUUUUUUUUUUCUCGGUGGUUGCCAAAGGGCGGUUUUUUAUUCUGUUAGCAGCUAAUGUACCUGGACAAAAUUACAGCCAGGUACAUCUCGCGAACACAUGAAGAUCCGUCAAUAUUAUAUUAAUUUCUUUUUACUCUCCUGAGAUACAUAAAUUAUAUAUAUAUCCCUAAGUUCUGUCACCUAAAUCCAGCUCACGGAGACAUCAAUCGAAUUAUAUAUGUUUCAUGGGUACGUUUUUGAAAAUGCGAAAUUACCCUGAGGCUAUUUUAUUUAACGGAGGACUCCUAAAGGGUGGGUAAAGCUAAAUAUCCCUACAUUAUUUUAUUACUCCUAAUCUCAGGCAACUAAUGGGUUAAUCACGAAGUAGGCUAUCACGUGAUGAAAGAGACGGGGGAUGGGUGGCCCUCACGUGGGGGGUCUAAUUAUGUAGAAAUAAUGGGGAAUCGGAUCUGAAUGGGACCUCAUAAAUGUACCGCAAGCGGAUCUCCACACGUUCAACCGGCCAGCGGGCCCAGGCAGACCCAUGUGGGAUCCGCGAGUCUGGGGCUUUUCGGCGGGCCCGCACGUGGGAGCUCUGGGGCCCGACACGCGUGAAUUUCCCGCCUCCGGAGUGUCGGUCUGGCCUGGCCUUAUUCGGGGUAAGUUCACCGAAGUUUACGGUGUUUCGCUCGUGGACCUGGGAAAACGACCGUGGUCUUUCUCCGGUCUUUCUCCUCUUACUUGACCCGUAACAGCGAUAGAAAAGACCAGUAGAUGUGGGUACUUUGUGUCGGGAAUCUCUCUCGAGGCGGGAGGCGGCGGCCGAUCGUCAGUUUGCCACCUUGCCUCAGAGCGGGGAUCGGCGGCGGCGGUGGUCAGGACUCCUGGGAAGCGUCUCCGAUUCCGCAGUUCAGUCGGUUUUGGUGGUGUGAUUCGAUCGGCGGCGGUUUUAAUCGUUUGUUCUUUUUAAUCCGUUGUGUUUCUCAGACUCGCGCGUAAUCUCCACCUCCGGCAUUUGUAAGUCUGGGCUAUGGGGGAAAUUUAUUGGUCCAGCUACCGAGCUUCUAUGAUCUUUGGUGCGUCAUUUGUUAGAUAGUUUUCUCUGGUUUGGCGGGAGGUUGUUCGGCGAGAAAGGGGUGUUGUGUCUGGUUGGGUCGUCGACGCCGGUUGCGGCGGAAAUGGAAGAUGCUUCUCUAUUAUUUUGACGCGGAGGGAGGAAUGCAGGUCAGGAUUUGGCUCUUUCGGCUCGUCAAAGGAGAAAAACUACGGGAGAUGAGUGGGUACGCAGUUGAGGAAGAUGGUGGUUAGUUGGCAUCUCUAUUGAAGAUGUUUCGCCGCGGUUCUCCGAAACAAGGCUGCGAAAAUCUGGUUUUAAGGUUGUUGAUCGGCUGCUGGCGUUCCUAGUCUAUGAAUCAUGUUUCUGGAGGAAGGGUGAAUGCAAGUGGUCGAAGGAUUGCUUUGUUCAGUUUUCCCUUGGCCAUGGUCUGGUCUACAUUUCAAGGUCCAGACGACGUCUUCAGAGUUUUAGCUGACUAUUGAUACUCUCUGCUAGGUAAAUAGAGACAUAAGUCGGGUUCCUGGAUAAUUAGUUUCUCAUCAACUGCAAACCAGGCUUAUUGUCAGUCAUGCCGAGCAUUAGACCCCCAGCUUGGAAGCAGACUGCCACUCUCCAGGUUACAACCAUCUGGAAAGGGGAACCUUUCCUAUGUUUUUGCACUAAUUUGUUCUCUUCUUGAUAUUUUAUUUCAUUUCAGGUGGCUGUGAAGUGCAGACCCUUAACAGAGGCAGAACGUCAACAAAAUCGGCAAAUUGUUCACGUGACAAAUAACAAGGUCUAUAAAUUUUCUCCAGAAACAUGCACUUUUUUGCUCAGAGGCAUUUUUUUCUUUUUUUUUCCAUUAAAGAAUUCUUUUUAAUCAUAAUGCAGGGUGUCAUUGUUUUGGAUCCUGAUUUGUCGAAGGACUACCUUGAUCUCAUCCAAAAUCGUACCAAAGAGAAAAGAUACAGUUUUGAUCAUGCAUUUGGACCUGAGUGCACUAAUACGGUAUGCAAACAAUUUUCUCAUGAAUGUCCAAAAUCCUUGUCUCAUAUUUUCUUGUGGACUUUUGAUUUCGGCAAACAAGAGAAUGAAUGUUAUUAUGGCCUUAAUUACCAGUUUAGUGGAUCCAUGCAAUUCCAGAUAUUGUUUUAAUGAUCGUUGUUUCUUAUGGAGAUUUUCUUUUUUACUUCACCUUAUUAUUGCAUAAUGUUCCAUCAUUGGCCCUGUAGUGUGAAUUCUAUGUUUGUGAGGGAGAUGUAUAAUUGUUCUAUUUGCAAAAGAGUUGCGCCACCAUUGGCAUAUUAAUAAACGUCUUGUUGUUUGAGGUCUUUCACGUCAUAAAGUUCUUAUCGAUGCUAGCUCUCUACAGAAGUUCUAAUCGUGUCUUAAUCUCUUCGAAAAUUGUACCCAGGAUGUGUACAAGUGUAUCUCCUCUACAAUUGUUGGGGUUGUACAGGGCCUCAAUGCCACUGUAUUUGCAUAUGGUGCAACGGGAAGGUAUUAUUCUAUUUUAAAUUGACUUGAAAUGGUUGCUAUUAUUUUAUUAAAUUGUAUUUAUUCACUUGAGAUCAUUUUCUAAUUAAAAUUAGAGGUGCAUUUUCUUAUUUUCGUGGUAAUUUAUUUUUUUAUUUAUCCAUGUCAUUUGAUCUCUUGAGCUAUACUCCGCCCAUUGGAUACUCUAAUAUGGUGGUCAAAGUUGCCUUCGUGUUGCUUUGCAUUUGACCCAAACCGUGUGAAGUUUUACUGUUUCAUAGAGAAAAUCUUUCAAACGUAACUAGACAAGUUUUAGUAUUUCAUUAGCUUCAUUUAUCUGUGAAUGAUUGUAUCUCACAUUUUAAUAAAAGAGGCAUAUCUUUUCACAGGUGAAUUGUCAUAGACCUAGUACAUUUAAAUGUCAAUCUCUAAUACAUAUUUGAUUAAAUGCGGCAUUAAAUUUGCAUCCGUAUAGGAAUCAUGAAUGUCAGUAAUGAUACUUUCCUUUUCUUUUAAUGAAAGAGAGUGUCCUUCUCCUUCUAAAAACGAGUGUUUGUUCUGAUAUAAUGCUUUUUGUUCAGCUGAUGUUAUCCAUUUUAUUUACGUUUACAUUUAAUCAUAUGUUUAACAUCUCAUGUCUAGAAGCUUGUAAUAAUGCUAGAGGACCAUUCAAGGUUACGCUAAUGUAAAGACCUUUUACAUAUUGCGCUUUCCAGGUAAGAAUCCGGGAAUCAUGUCAUGUGUAUUGCUUAAGUGAUCCUCAUCCUCUUCAGAAUGGGGAAUGUGAACACACCUUUGGUGCUCAUGGCUUCUUAUUCUUUACAUACUAUUAAAACACCGAAAGCUCCAAAAACCAAGCCAUAUCAACAGGCUCAGGAUUGAUCUCCCAGUCUGAUUCUAACUGACCUUUGUUGACUAUUAUACAGUGUUUUUAUGAAAGACUUAGCCAAUGGUUAAUACACUUUGGAUAGAUAUGAAUAACAGAAUUUCCGCAUCGAUGAUCGCUAAUUUUUCGCUUUUCCCGUUGUCAUACAGUCAUGUUGUACAUAUAUUAUGAAUUUGUUCCCUAAAGUCCCCAAAUUGGCAGCGCAUUGGAGGAAUAUGGUUUCCGAGAAUAAUAUGGCUAUGAUUUUAACCUUCAAUGGGGAGGCUUGGAUUCUUGGUGUGUAUAUCAUCAAUGUUUCUCUUGUGCAUCGGGCAGCAUAUGUGAUUUUGGGGAUGUUUAGGUGCAACUUCUUAUACAGUUGAGUAGAACUUUUGUCAUCAAUAACUUGUCGCAGUAUUCAGUUUUCAAGAAAGUCAAAGUCUUUCUUUUUUCCAGCAUAAUGGGAUUUAUAUAUAAUAUGCGGAAUGAUGUCAUGAAAAUUUUCAAACAUGUACAUUAUUAUCAAACAUUAACCAAAGAAAGAAUUAGCUAUUACAUUUUCUCUGAGUGGCCAAGUUUUUUAUUAAAUUUUUCAAUUUGGGCCCUAAAGGCGAGGUUGAUGUCAUUAUUUGAAUAUUGACUGCCUUUUGUACCUUGACUAAUUCAUUCAAAGUUUUAAGUGUUGCCAUGUUUUUCGGAAACCAAACUAGAAUGCUGUGUUUUCAUGUAUGAAUGUAAAUUUAAACAGUUUUACGAUUGUUAAUAUCACUAGAAUCCUAUGCAUGUAUGUGUAUGAUCCUUGGGUCAGAGAUAUACAUUAUGCUUUGCUUUGCGCGCAUAUGUUACAGCUUCUUGUCUUAUAUGUAUUUCCAGUGGGAAAACAUACACAAUGGUUGGGACACGCAAUGAUCCUGGACUUAUGGUUCUUAGCUUGCACACAAUCUUUGACCUCAUCAAAAAAGAUGAAAGCUCAGACGAGUUUGAAGUUGCCUGUUCGUACCUAGAAGUAUAUAACGAAGUAUGUCGUUGAUUUCGACACAAUGUCUGUCUGCUGAGCUUUAAUCACGUUAAAGCCCGUUUUCCACGACUCUUUAUCCUUUUUUCUUUCGCGGAAUUCUAGGUUAUAUACGAUUUGCUUGAGAAGUCUUCCUCUCAUUUGGAGCUAAGAGAGGACCCUGAGAAAGGAAUCGUUGUUGCUGGUCUCAGGACUAUUAAGGUGUGCUUUAUUUUCCUCUAUAUAUUAUUCUAUAGCCUUUCAACUUUAUUUUUCUCUAGGAAAAAAUCAAAAAGGGAAGUGGAGUAUUUUAUUUAAAGGGAUAUUAAUAAGAAAUAAACCAUAACUUUUAUACUCCCCGUCAGCUGAGAUUAGAGGUCAGUUACACUCAUUUUUCCUACAGUAGAGAAACCGGACUAUGUUCAUCCUUUUUGAAAAGAUAUUAGUCACAUCAUCUUUUGUAGACACAUCUCUUGAUAAUCUAAUUUACUUUGAUAAAGUAAUUGUAAAUUUCUUUAUAUUUGGUCUUGUCACGCUGCAAUGAAUUAUUUGCGAGCAAAUAACGGAACAAACACAACUAUGCGGGACUUUCAAACGAUGGAUGGCUUAAUCUAGAGUGACAUAGAUGAACCUCUGAGAGCCUCUUUUGCGAGCUCCUUGCGUACAUGUAGAGACAACCAUGCAGAACGAUAUUCCUGAAUUCUUGUUGAUAGUCAGUUUCCUGGAGGAAAGUUUGAUCAACAGCAGAUCCACGCACGUUUAAACACUCCUCCCUCUGAUACAGCUAGAUUUAGUCGAGCGCUCUCUGCUCACAGGUCUCGUGGCUAUGAUUUCAUUAAGAUAAAAGAAGGGCAAGAUAAGAGAAUGUGGACAAAAGAAGAGGAGUACUGUAUCAGACUUUUUAAGGCCCGUGCUACUACUCUAGGAUUUCAUAUAUUUGGGUGAAAAACAGAUCAAUAGGAACUACACUCUUAUGGGAUAGAGAGUAAAAUACCUUGUUAUAAAUACAAAUAACUAAUAGACAUUGGCCUUUAUACCAUUCAAACCAAGUGUGCAUUCAUUUGUUUAGGACAGAGGCUCCCUGACCAGCUAUAUUCAGGGAAAGAGUUGCGCACACUUUACAUUGAAACUCUAUACCUUUACUCAGAGGUCCUGAAAAUGAUAGGCUUGCUUGCCACAUAUAUAAAUCUAGCUAUAUUUUAUUUCAAUUUUUUAUUUUCAUCAUAUAUAAAUUAAUAUUAAUUGGCAAAAUUACAGUCACAUGUCUUCUUGCGUUCUGGAUUUAUGCGUUCCCAUACUGGAUUCCCAUAGUUUGCCAUCUCUUAUGAUGAAUAUUCUUUUUUUUCCAUUUUUCAGGUCCAAUCAGCUGAUAAGAUAUUGGAGCUUUUAAACAUUGGAAAUAGUAGGCGCAAAACAGAAAGCACGGAAGCAAAUGCAACUUCUUCACGGUGAGCUAUGGGUACAAUUCAGAAUCAUCAUAUUCAUUUGGAUUUCACAUUGAUGCUACCAGAAAUUUUCUGGAUUUUUGUUUUCACUUCAUUUAUUUAUUUUCAUUUGACAGCAGGUUACUUGACCUUCUGAAAAAAUGUUCCUAUAGUAGGGUGUUAGCUAUUCACAUUGAUGAUAAUAACUAGCUACUGUAGUUACAGUUUUCCGUUGACAAUAUUAAUCAUUUAGUAUGUCACGGGCACUCUUUCUUUCUAACCCCAUAUGUAGAGGAAACACACUUUCCUUCCUAGAGCUGUGAAGACACCAAAAGUAAACACUUUACAACUGUUACUUUCACAGAUGUCCUUGCCAUUCCCGGGGUAAUCUAGUGUUAUUAUUUUCCCCUAUUCAACUCACGCUUGGACAUGCUUUCUUAUUACAUGUUUCGUAUUUAAAUUCACUAAACAUGCGAUGCCCUUGUAUGGCGUGCUCUUCCGAGUCCACUGGCCUCACAUUGUAUGCCAACGUGUUAGAGGGAUAUUCCAGGGGAUGGGUGUCUACUGGAAGACACUGUAGAACUUAUGAUGCAUCGGACACCACUCUAAUUGGAAGCCGAAUGCUUCCUUAAACAGGUCACAUGCAGUCUUGGAGAUUACCGUGAAAAGGAAACAGAAAAACAACUACAGAACUCAAGUUCUACGCGGAAAACUUGCCCUCGUUGAUCUUGCCGGGAGGUCUUUACCUGCUCCAGAACUUCCUCAAAUUUUCAAUUAUUUCGUAUUUAUUUAUUUCUCUGUCCUUGACUCCCCGCAAUUCUUUUAAAACCUGCUUCCCUCAGUGAAAGAGCAUCUGAAACCCACAAUGCCGGUCAAAAGCUAAGAGACGGGGCUAAUAUCAAUCGCUCUCUUCUUGCCUUAGCUAACUGCAUCAACGCUUUGGGCAAGCAACAUAAGAAGGGGCUUGCAUAUGUUCCUUACCGCAAUAGGUAUUUCUUUACGAUUUUAAUUUUGAGUAAUAAUUACAGAACCAUCAGAUGUACCUUAUUAUUUUUUUUAAUCUCUUCAGCAAGUUGACACGGAUUCUGAAGGAUGGUCUGAGCGGUAAUUCCCAAACAGUUAUGGUUGCCACUGUAUCACCCGCAGAUGGUCAGUAUCACCACACUGUUAAUACGCUGAAAUAUGCUGAUCGAGCCAAGGAGAUCAAAACACACAUUCAGGUGAUAGUUUUUUACUUGAUAGAAACCGUCCCUGGAGUUUGAAAAUCAGAACGGUUUGGGUGACUUUUGGAUGAAAGUAAAGAGACAAGAUAAUCAGUUUCACACAUUUCAUACGGCCCUGUUCAGCAUAGUUGUUCUUUUUAUUUUUUUUAAUGCCGGACUAUGCUCGGGGUAGUCCUUUUUAUGGUCACCCAGUUCUUCCACAUGGAUUGCCUAGCCGUAUAUAUUUGAGUCGAUUCUUCUGACCAGUUUGAAGAAUGACACAAAAGUAGUUGACUUUUAGUGAGGCCAAUGCUGACUGUGUUCCAAUGUGUCAGAAAAACAUCGGACCGAUUGAUACCCAUAUCACGGAUUACGAAAGAAUGAUCGACAACCUCCAGGUAAUUUUUUGGGAAAUAUUUGAUGUUUUAAAGGUCGAAAAUGGUGCUCUAAUUCUGGGCUGUGAUUUUAAUCUUGCAGGUUGAAGUAUGCCGAUUAAAGAAGGAAUUAGCUGAGAAGGAGUCUCAGUUAUGCAGAAAACCAGCCGAAAAGACUGCAGAUGAUGAGCUCUCUUGGUUAAAUUUUUUGAGCCGCGAGACCAGUGAAAAUGUUCAGGAACGCAUAAACCUUCAGAAGGCGCUGCUAGAGCUUGAGGAGACCAACCUCAGAAAUCGGAUUGAGCUUCAACAUCUCGAUGAUGCCAUCGCUAAACACCAGGUUUGUCCAUUACGGUUUUUUUUUUUGCUCGUUUUUUUCUCCAAAAUCUCUCGAAAAGACCAGGUUAGGAGGAGAAUAUUUUCGUGGGUUCAUAGUCGGUGUAUGAGUUGGCUCUAUCCAUUUCAAUUUCUGUAAAAUCUUCAUUAGUUUAUUAUUUACGUCAAUGUUCAGCUUUGAAACAAUGAAUAUUCUAUCUUUAUCACCUCGUAAUUGCUGUUAUAAUAAGCUAUUUGUCAACGGACCCACGGUUGCUUCUCCCUGCUUGAUAGAUAGAUCACCAUGUGCGUUAUGUGUGCUCGGAUGGUUGACUUUCUAUGUUGCUCAGGCCGUUGAAAAAGAUGGCACAGUUGUUCAGACGCUGAGCCUAAGGCGGCAGGUCAUUCUUGAUAACAUCCGUGACAACGACGAGUCCGGCACCAUCUACCAGAAGGUGCCCAUCGAUCCCCCCCCCCCCCCCCCNNNNNNNNNNNNNNNNNNNNNNNNNNNNNNNNNNNNNNNNNNNNNNNNNNNNNNNNNNNNNNNNNNNNNNNNNNNNNNNNNNNNNNNNNNNNNNNNNNNNNNNNNNNNNNNNNNNNNNNNNNNNNNNNNNNNNNNNNNNNNNNNNNNNNNNNNNNNNNNNNNNNNNNNNNNNNNNNNNNNNNNNNNNNNNNNNNNNNNNNNNNNNNNNNNNNNNNNNNNNNNNNNNNNNNNNNNNNNNNNNNNNNNNNNNNNNNNNNNNNNNNNNNNNNNNNNNNNNNNNNNNNNNNNNNNNNNNNNNNNNNNNNNNNNNNNNNNNNNNNNNNNNNNNNNNNNNNNNNNNNNNNNNNNNNNNNNNNNNNNNNNNNNNNNNNNNNNNNNNNNNNNNNNNNNNNNNNNNNNNNNNNNNNNNNNNNNNNNNNNNNNNNNNNNNNNNNNNNNNNNNNNNNNNNNNNNNNNNNNNNNNNNNNNNNNNNNNNNNNNNNNNNNNNNNNNNNNNNNNNNNNNNNNNNNNNNNNNNNNNNNNNNNNNNNNNNNNNNNNNNNNNNNNNNNNNNNNNNNNNNNNNNNNNNNNNNNNNNNNNNNNNNNNNNNNNNNNNNNNNNNNNNNNNNNNNNNNNNNNNNNNNNNNNNNNNNNNNNNNNNNNNNNNNNNNNNNNNNNNNNNNNNNNNNNNNNNNNNNNNNNNNNNNNNNNNNNNNNNNNNNNNNNNNNNNNNNNNNNNNNNNNNNNNNNNNNNNNNNNNNNNNNNNNNNNNNNNNNNNNNNNNNNNNNNNNNNNNNNNNNNNNNNNNNNNNNNNNNNNNNNNNNNNNNNNNNNNNNNNNNNNNNNNNNNNNNNNNNNNNNNNNNNNNNNNNNNNNNNNNNNNNNNNNNNNNNNNNNNNNNNNNNNNNNNNNNNNNNNNNNNNNNNNNNNNNNNNNNNNNNNNNNNNNNNNNNNNNNNNNNNNNNNNNNNNNNNNNNNNNNNNNNNNNNNNNNNNNNNNNNNNNNNNNNNNNNNNNNNNNNNNNNNNNNNNNNNNNNNNNNNNNNNNNNNNNNNNNNNNNNNNNNNNNNNNNNNNNNNNNNNNNNNNNNNNNNNNNNNNNNNNNNNNNNNNNNNNNNNNNNNNNNNNNNNNNNNNNNNNNNNNNNNNNNNNNNNNNNNNNNNNNNNNNNNNNNNNNNNNNNNNNNNNNNNNNNNNNNNNNNNNNNNNNNNNNNNNNNNNNNNNNNNNNNNNNNNNNNNNNNNNNNNNNNNNNNNNNNNNNNNNNNNNNNNNNNNNNNNNNNNNNNNNNNNNNNNNNNNNNNNNNNNNNNNNNNNNNNNNNNNNNNNNNNNNNNNNNNNNNNNNNNNNNNNNNNNNNNNNNNNNNNNNNNNNNNNNNNNNNNNNNNNNNNNNNNNNNNNNNNNNNNNNNNNNNNNNNNNNNNNNNNNNNNNNNNNNNNNNNNNNNNNNNNNNNNNNNNNNNNNNNNNNNNNNNNNNNNNNNNNNNNNNNNNNNNNNNNNNNNNNNNNNNNNNNNNNNNNNNNNNNNNNNNNNNNNNNNNNNNNNNNNNNNNNNNNNNNNNNNNNNNNNNNNNNNNNNNNNNNNNNNNNNNNNNNNNNNNNNNNNNNNNNNNNNNNNNNNNNNNNNNNNNNNNNNNNNNNNNNNNNNNNNNNNNNNNNNNNNCUCUCUCUCUCUCUCUCUCUCUCUCUCUCUCUCUCUCUUGGAAGCGUCCUUUCGCGGCAUGAAGGUAAUCCCCGGAAUGGUGACAUGUCUUGAAGCGAAUUGGUUCUUCGUAUGGUCUUCUCUAGAUCAUCCCUCUCUUCUUUGCUUUGACUCUCUUUUACAAUCGGGUUCUUCUCUGGUUUCCCUGUCUUGGGCGGUGGAAAUCAGAUAGCGGUGGAGGGAUGCAUGCACGGGGAGCUCGACAAUGUCUACGCGACCAUCCAGCAUUUGGAGAAGGUGGAGAAUAUCAAGAUCGACCUGCUUAUUUGCUGUGGCGACUUCCAGGUUCUCUUCUCCAUCUCUGGUUUCAGAUCUUAGAGAAGGGACGCAUUUAUUUGAUGAAAGGUCAGCGCGGGGUCGCCCCGCAGAUUCUAUGAUUCAUGAUGACUCCACGGAUCGCACGGCCCUCGCCCGCGGAGAUGGCGUCGGCGCGACGUGGGGACGCAGUGCGCGCCGCCUCGGCGUGCCCCCGCGGGGCAUCCGCGCGCACGCUCCAGGCGAUGCCUGGUGUUUGUCGUUUUUUUAAGUUUGGUCUUUUCUGAUUGCUUGAGGAGAUCGAUGCUGUCAUAUUGUUGGUAACCUUCAUUUUUGUUUCAAUCCAAAUCAGAGUUGUAGAAUGUUGGUUACUUGUGUUCCCCCUAUCGUCGACCAUCAUGAUAGCGGUGGUGGUAGAUGUCGUGGGGAUAUAUUUCUUUUAGAUUCUAGUUUCUUUAUUACUCAUUAGAGCACAAGACAUCUUUCCUAAGAAUCGAAUCAAGAUUUUUUUCCUGGAGAUCGUCACCCAUGCAUUUGAAUCAAUGAUCGUGGACCCAUCAUUGUGAUUAUCCUUUCGGGUUCUUCUUGUCUCGGAUUGUAACUAGUCAGUCUAAGAGCAUCAUCUUGAUGCAUUUUUGUAAACCAUAUUCUGAUAUAUAAGUAAGAUCGCAUCAAGCGUUCCUAAUCAACUCUCUUCAAGAUUGUUUUCAUCUGGGAGUCUCGUUGAGUCAACAGGGAGAGUGGUUUAUGAGCUGAGUGGGGGGUGAAUGUUUCAUUUAUUCCAUUUGUGAAAAUUUUCUGCAUUAACACAGCGUGCAUUUCACCACUGGAUGCCCAUCUCUUGUUAAGACAUGCCGUUAUUAAUGUUGUGACCUACAGGAUUAGCAUCGUUUAUCUUUUGCAGUUUUUUAUUUUUGUUCUAGUCAACGUUGUUUCAUAGAUGUAUUCACAUGGUUAACCUGGGCUAGCUAUCUGGAUGAUGAUUUGAAUGUCCUUCUACAAGAACGAGACGCAGACACAAUAAGCAUGUGGGUGCCGAUUGGAUCGUGUUGUUGGAAAGUUUAUAAUACUUGGAAGACAUUGAUACAGUGUGAAAAUGGGAAUUCUCGUGUCGUUCUCUACUUUAAUGUCUUAGCUAAACCAUUGCGCGCAACGAAAUGGGUCAUUUAUGAGAAAAACACUGAUGGUGCAACAUAAAGAGCAAUAUAUGGCUGGCUGAGGGUUCGUCCUGUUUUUGCACUGCUGUGUCUGUUUUUUCCACAUUUUUGUGAGAUGUGUAUAGGAUUUAUAUCAUUUAAAUCUGAUUUGGGUUUGAAUGUAAUGGUGAAAUCUGUAAUUUAGAAACACAUUUCUCUUUUAAAUCAGAGUAAAGCCACAAAUUCGCAACUAUUGUCAGUAAAAAGGAUCUUCAUACACAAGAGUACUCUGCAGAUUAUCCUGAAAGGUGGUUGGUCUAGGGCAGGAAAAUGUAGGUAUGUGGGCAAACUGCACGUAUCUCUGAAAGUUUAUGAAGACUAAUCGGCUUACUUUGAAAGCAAGGAGGCUCAACUCUUUCGAGUGUUUAAAUUUCCCAGUUUGAAACUAUAUGUUGUUAAUGAAAAUGCUUUGGCUUUACUCCAUAAUUAGUGUGAACUUAUCUUAAAUCCUACUAUGAUGACAAAGUUGUGUGUAUAUUCUUAUCUCAUUUCUGUGAAUAAGGACGGUGAGUGCUCGUUGAUUUUUUAUAUUUCCAGUGGCAGUAUAUCUAAUUAUUUUCUAGCUCCGUUUGGAUUUCUUUUUAUUUUUGAGCAUGCUGGUGAAACCUAAGUUAUAAACCAUUCCAUGUUUUUUUUCUUUUUGCAAACAGGCAGUCAGAUAUCAAAGCGACUUGAAUAGCCUAAAUGUCAAACCAAACUAUCGAAAAAUGAACUCUUUUUGGAAAUACUAUUCUGGAGAAGAAAUAGCUCCUUAUCCUACAAUUUUUAUUGGCGGCAAUCAUGAAGCAUCCAACUAUUUGUGGGAAUUGUGAGUUUUUUUUUGCCAUUCAUCUUUUGUUUCUGAGGUUACAUUGAGAAUAAGUAAUUUUCGUACAUAGAUAGCUAUUUGGAAACUUUCAUGAAUUCAUCAAAGAUUUUGGAGGGUAUAAUUAUUUCCUCAAAUGGCUGUGGUGUUCCAUUUGGUUGCGAAACCCAGAUAAUGUAAGGAUUUCCUGGAGUUUGGUGAUUUUCCGUUUGAUGCUGACUAAGAAGUACCAUAAACAUCAUUCAUCUACAAAUAACCAAAAGACCGUUGAUCAUUGGAAUGUAAUAUAUUUUGACUUUGAAAUUUCGAAAAUUUUAAAAUGAGAUCUGCAUUCAGAGAAAGUUGUUAUCGGUCCAUAGAGCAGCAGAACUUUUUGGUUCGCUGAUCAGCUGAUUAAAUGAAUAGAAGAUAAAUUUUAUUUCCUCCCUUUCCCGCUCCAGCAGAGCCUGUCACGUUGACCCUAUACGCGUCCUGUGCUGUUUCUAUCAGGAUUUUUUUUCCCUAAUAUCUCCCCGCCGUUGAUUGUUGAAUUUGAGCGCUGUAAUUGUUUACAAUGUUUCCGCCUUGUUAUAUAUAUGUUCCUCUCCAAUUAAAUUCAUUAAGUGUGUUAUCUGGUACGAGACAAAUGAGGACCUUUAGAAGUAUGUUCUAUCGCAGAUGAAAAGAUUGGCAUCCACUGUAAUAAAAAAAUAUGCCACCAUGUAUUGGGAAGGCUAUGUUCUCCCUCUCUUCCUCUAUGAUCUGUCACUGAAUAAAUAUUGAUGUUGUGGCUUUCUUUGUCAGGUAUUAUGGUGGAUGGGCGGCACCCAACAUUUAUUUCUUAGGGUACGCUGGAGUUAUGAAAUUUGGUGACAUUCGUAUUGCCGGAUUAUCAGGAAUAUAUAAUCCACGACAUUAUAACCUUGGUUAGUGACGGCUAUGCCAUGUAUGCGUUUGUUCAAGUUUUUUUUGUUAUUUCUUCUUUUUCCUUGCGCUAUUAAUUCUCAACAUUCUAACAAAAUACGCCCUCUUUCGGGUGACCUCAGAUUCCUAUGUCACAUGAUUCCACUAUUUCUCAUGCAUUAUUUUGAUUUUAUGCCAACAUGACAGCAGAAUUAUCAGGCUUUAAUCUCAAAUUACGAAAAUAGUCUAAUUUCCCCUCCCAUCAGACAGUGAAUGUUACUCGGGAAGAAAAUUGAUAAAAUUCGGAAACUUCACUUGACCCGUUAUAUUCAAUUCUUUAUUUCUCCAUUUGAAAGUCGUCAUAUUUGAACUAUUGCAAUGUUGGUUUCUAAAUGUCAUAUAAAAUUGGCAUUUUAAUGUUGCUUUGUAUAAAUAGUUUAGCGAAAGUCUCUAAGAAGAUGAUCUGUUAUUUGGCAGGACACUAUGAGAGACCUCCUUAUAAUGAGAGUGAUAUUCGAUCCAUAUAUCAUGUUAGGGAAUAUGAUGUUUUCAAGCUUAUGCAAAUCAAGGAACCAAUUGAUUUGUUCAUUUCACAUGAUUGGCCUCUCGGUAUAACUGAUUUUGGCGAUUCUGAUAAUCUUAUUCGCAAGAAGCCGUAUUUUAGAAGGGAGGUACGUGUAUCUAUGGUUACUACAUACAUUCUGGACAUUCUAGAGUAACCUUCGAAUAAUUUACAUUUCGAAGCGGCUAUUAAUUUCUGACCUUCAUUAUCUUGAUUUUUUUUCUUUGACCGAAGCAUUUGAAUAAUUAUGUCUGCUUCAUAGAGUGGUUGAAGUACCUUUUGAUGAAAAAUGCCGGAGUUUGAACACGACAGAUUUUUUUUUAUAUUUAUUGCUUGAUUUUCCCUAGAUUGAGGAACGAACUCUGGGAAGUAGGGCUGCAGCACAACUACUAGACAAACUGAAACCGCCUUAUUGGUUCUCUGCUCAUCUUCAUUGCAAAUUUCCUGCCGUAAUUCAGCAUGGAGAGAAUGGACCUGUGACAAAAUUUCUUGCUCUUGACAAGUGCCUCCCAAGGCGUCAGUUUUUGCAGGUAUGGUCUCUUUUCCGGAUGUUUAUUUUUCUUUUCAUCAGUGAAGAUAUAUUUUAGUCUAUGUCUCUGAUUUUUUUUAGAUUUUGGAAAUCGGAUCAGAUCCUGGGCCCCAUGAAAUUAUGUUUGAUGAAGAGUGGCUUGCAAUAACACGGAAAUUUAAUUCGGUCUUCCCUUUGACACGAAAACCUUGGCUGGGGUAAGCACAUCACUACUAUGGACACUGUCAUAUAUAAUCUUCCGUUGUAUGCGAAGUUAAUUGCUUCAUGCUUCCAACUCAGAGCUCAACAAGAUGAAAACCAGGAUCACUACCAAUGGAUCAAAGACAAGCUGAAGGCCAGAGGGGGUCGGCCCUUUGAGUUUAUCCGAACUCCUCCUUCUUCUGGUAACUUAUGCUUUUUUUUCUGCGAUCCCCUAGAUAUUCUUAAAUGCUGAACUGUGACCUUUGGCAUCCAUCUCUGAAAUUUGUUCGUUCACAUUCUAGGUCAUCAACGGAACCCUCAGACAGAAUCUUUGUUAGAAUUCUUAGAACUUCCCUAUCUCCUUGACGUAACAACAGAGACAAGUACAGUAUUACAAGGUAAUAUUCUAUGCCGUCAUCUUAGUCAAUAUGAAAACGGUCUUCAUUACUCAUAUUAUUCCCUGAAAUGUGUACGCUGUUUUUUUUUGAUAUUUUGUUAAUAAGAAGGGAAAUGAAAAUUGUUUGGUGUGAAACCAUGGAGAAAUAGUGUGAAUGCAUUCUAUGAGACUUCAUUUUAGUUCAAACUCGUCUUCUACUCCUCUACGCACGAUUUGCGGGAUUCUGUACGGGGACCACCCCGGUAAAAGUUCUCCUUUCUCAUGUGUUCGUCUGAUUUUGCUCUCAGAACCUUGAGAUUGUCACUAUAAAUACAUAUCCCUUCCAUUAAUGAUUCUUUUUCCCAUUACUCCCGUUCAUAUUCCAUUUGGGUAAAGGAAUUCUUUGAACUGUCGCCAUGAUGCCAAAAUGCACUGUCAUGAUGAGUAUGAGACUGUUUGUUUAAUGAUAUAUGACUAUCUCCAGGAUUUAAAAAACUUGUGUGAUACGUCGGGUUCUAUGAAAAUGAGACUGGCUUAACGUGGGGAUCUUAUCUGGGGGGUGGUUGACCCCGACCAGGCUAGCCUAGUAUUUUGAUGGAAGUUCGAGCCUGGCCUCUGCCGGUUUCUGGCCUGAAAACACCAUGCAAGCCAAAAAAAGUCGGCUAUCACCUCCAUGUGAUACGCAAUACACGCCCUGCGCCUCACCUCCUCUCUCAUGUCUCCCCCAAAGGGCCUGAUUUCAAGGUCCCCAGCUGCGAGGCCGUGGAUGCUGUGCCGACGUUGUUAUGUAGAGUGGGGACUGGUUACCUCCUAGUUUGUUUGUUUACCCCCUGCUAUAUGGAGGGAAUUUGUAGGCGCAGUGGCAUCAUCUGCACCUCAUGAUAGGUUAUCUUCUUGGAAGCAGUGUGAAUCAUCUCAUGCAGCUGUAACUUUAUCACCAUUAUGCCACUCACUUCAUCUGUAGACAAAUCACUUAAAGUUUUUUUGUGCGUGGUGAUCCUAUUAUCCUCUACUCUCCGUGAAUAAUAGGAGGUUUCUACUCCUAACAGGGCUGGAAGCGGGCUAGGCAGUGUCCUCAUGGGGUCUGAUAUUUUCUUUUGAACCCAAGAAAGAAUAUGCCAUACCAGUUUGAUCUUCGCUUUAUCUAUCUUUCGCUGUGGCGUCUCACACUCCUGAUUAUGUUUCCUUGAAUUAUUUUGUAUCCAUAAUUGACGGAUCAUACUUCAACUUGGUCAUGAUCCUUAUUGUAACGGUUCGCUCUUUUAUAUUCUUUUUCAUCUCUUUUCUUGUAUGGGGUAUUUUUUUUUUUUUUCACUGUUCUUCUCUCUAUGCAUGGCAAUACGGCCACUUCUUUCUGUAAAUAUAUGCUCAUUUAAUCUCAGAAAAAUGCCGUUCAUGGAAUACAGGGGCAGAGGACCAGCCAUUGGAGGACGACGGUGGGAAUGGGACCACUGAUGACAUCGACGAAAUGGAAGAGCUUACAGUUGCCGGUGGCCCUGAUCCAUAGCCACCACCCCUACCGGUCAGUAGCCUGCUCUGCCCUGGGCUUCCCCCUCCCUCUCCGACCAUUGGCCAGCUACAGGCAGAUGAUUAUGUUAUCCUUCUGGCUCCUCAUCAUCUGCAGAGGGUCUCGGGAGAUGGGUCGAUGAUUAUAGUAUCACCCCGGCUCCAAUUCGGAAUCCCAAGCUAGUCUAGAUUUGUCUGGCACUGUCCCCGUGUUGGGUAACUAGAAAAUUUCCUCCUGUUCCCUCUUUUCCCGGCCUGCCUAGCGUGCGGCCCUUGGUAGAGCUCUGUGCGUCCUCAGGCAGGAGGGGGGGGUUGGGGGGCGCCGGUCUCGGGGCCCUUCUGGUUCUUCCAUUCAGGCGGGCGGGGGUGCUCCGACGGGGGCGGGAGAGGGAAAAAAAUGCCGGCUUGGUGGCGGAUCGGCCGGCGCCGUAUUAUUGAGUGGAAAAAGUUGGAGUCUUUUUUGGCUUUCCAGAGGCGCCGUGCCGCUGCCUUCGGUGGUAUCUCUUUCCCUCCUGAAGCGCGGUCGUGUUCUGAGAUCGAAGUCAACCCCCCCGGCCAAUCGCGGGGGAGAUGCCCCUUGCUUUCUCCGGUUUGGUUUCUACGCCGUGCGUCGCCUCUCUCUCUCUCCUCUCUCUCUCUCUCUAGAGGGUAGAUGAGAAGGAAGCAGAGUGGCCACAGUUGUUUGGGGAGGGGGGGGGGGAGAAGAAUAGGCGUUGUGGGCACAAGAGAGGAAGGCAACCUACCUACCAGUCUAUGGUAGCGAGGAGGGACUCCGGCGUAGACGUUGAACCAACUCCCCUACGGGGCAGAAGAUGCCGUCGCCGCUAUGGAGUCUACGCCGCACCGGCUGCCACUGAAGCCGGAAAGAUGCCGGCGUCGGCCCCGUAGCCCGGCCAAUGAGAGAGGAGAAGACGCUGGAGAAUAGCAGUAUUGUAAUCAAUCGCCAAGCCCGGCAGUAUCUGUGAAAACCUUCGAGGGGACGCCGUGUUGGAUGAUACGGGGGAGAAGAUGACCAACCAGGCGCCGCCAUGGGCCGGGCAGAAGGUGGCGGAGAACCGGAGUUCGUCAUGGCCGAUAUGGUCGUCACCAAGCGUGGCAGUAUCUGCGGAAGGCUUCGAGCGGGCGCCGCAUCGGAUGACCAACCAGGCGGCGCCAUGGGCGGAGCAGAAGGUGACGGAGAACCGGACUUCAACAUGGGAGGAGCACGUGGCUAGCUGUAGACUUUGAUGGCGUGUGGUCCGUCUGAGAGAAGACAAGGAAGAAUGCUCGAGGACCCCGACAGUCGUCCCUUCAGCGGGAACGGCGGACAACGGAUCGGCCUGGGUUUCGUCGCCGACACGUGAGUCGGCGCGGCGUGAGGUGACCCCCCGUCCGUUCUUGCUGUCUCCCAUCUGGGGAGGAUCCGGAAGGAAACUCCGGGUGGAAAGAAGGGUUCUUGGAGCGAGGGGGGCUGCUUAUUAAGGAGGGGUUUAAUUCCUGAACCCUCGCGGGGGUCGCUCGGAUGUUUCUGAGAUUUGUUCGUCCGGGUGGACGGCGUCUGAUCGAAUUUUCCCAGAUCGGCGCUGUUCGAAGCGGAUACGACUGAGCUCUGGUUCAGAAUCUUUCUCGUAUUCAUCGCAGGGAUGUGAUCCUGUAGCAUAUUCUUGGAGCGUAGCAGUCUCUGAUCCAGCUGCAUGGGUCCCGGAGGAUGAGGACUCCCCGGAUUCGGACACGAGGAAGCGUUGGGGGGUUGAUGAGGGAGGGCAUCGGGAGCUUCCUCGUGACAGGAGCUGCGGCAUCCCCUGGUGGCAGGCUGGAGAAGCCCCUGCCCGGAUAUGACGUGCCGAGUGCGGGGUUCCGAGCAUCGGCACUGGAGCAGUGAUCUGCUAAGCUUGGAAGGAACGGGCAGGACCGUGAUGGCCGUGCAUGCAGUCUAGUUACGUGAAUGAGUACGCUCUCUCCUCUCUCUCUCUCUCUCUCUCUCUCUCUCUACNNNNNNNNNNNNNNNNNNNNCUCUCUCUCUCUCUCUCUCUCUCUCUCUCUCUCUCUCUCUCUCUCUCUCUCUCUCUCUCUCUCUCUCUCUCUCUCUCUCUCUCCUCCUCUCUCUCUCUCUCUCUCUCUCUGUGGCCGUCGGCUUGUCCCGUUGCGGGCGGAGGAAAGGCAAGGUUUUUCGGCACGGGACUUGUAGAACCCAGCGGGGGCCGCGUGGCUCCAGCUGGGGCUGAGCAGAGGCGGCGCGUGUGCAUGACGCAAGGGCGUCGACCUCACGGGGGAAAAUCAUAGGCUACUGCGGGCUGAGCCAGAUCCCAGAGCACCUGAUGGGAAGGAAGUACGCCAGCGACAGCCUCCACAGUUAAAGCAGAAGCGCCCGUGGAGAAAAGGCGCUUCAAUUAUCGAAUGAUAUAUAAAAAUAUAUACAGUUCUUCCGCGAAGGGAUCACCACUCACUGAAUGUGUAAGGGGGAGAAGGGGUGAAUGAUGGGGCAGGAAAAAAUAUCUGAAAAAGAAGCGCUGCGUACCUCAACGGCGGCCCGUCGUCCUCUUGGCCACAGGAGAGCGGGGGAGGGCGAGGAUGGCGAUGAGGCCGCUGAUAAAGGCUGCGACUCCGGCGACAGCGAAGGCUGGCGCAUUCCCACCUCCGAAGAGCUGGUCCCAGGGUCCACUCCCCACGGACACAAUCACCUGCGCUCGCACGAAAGGAUUCCAUCAGAUGGGUUCUUCUCAUAGCCUCUCAGAUGGGCACUCAACAUCAAGCAGAAUAGUCAGAAGUGCAUGACGUUGACUCAAAGAACUAGUUUUGAUCAGAUGGGCAGUGAUUACGUGGCUAUCUGGGACGAGGUCCAUCUGACCCAUCACCACAUCAGUGAACAGAUUACUUCCCAUUUUCGAUUCCUCUUUCAGGGUUCCUGGCUGUAUGGGGUCCAACUGCACUAGAGUAGGGUGGGCGGCUGCGUCUAGAAUAAUGCAGACGGUCUUACCAGAGAGAGGCUGCUUUUGAAAGAACUGUCUUAUCCUUGGAGCUGAAACUCCAUAUACAUGCAUCGACUCUGACAUAAUUUGGUGAUGAAUAACCAUGAAGGGGCAACCUAGCCAACCCCCAGCUAUGUCAGAUGCUCGGAAGCACAAUUAAUCCAUACAAGAUUCGAACUAUGUGCGUUCUGUGUAUAGCAUUCAUAUGAUUUACGUGGAGAAGGAAGGUCAACCAUUGUGUGCAUAAAAUCUGAUCCUUUUCCAAUAAGAUUUUAGAUCAAGCAUAUGCUAAAUAACUCAUUCUUCUAUCAUGGCAGUGUUAAUCAUUCAUUCUGGCAGUCUUGCCACGCGGUUAGUCUUUCAGGGGUGUGACAAGCAGUCUCUCUGCUGCCACCAUGCUUCAUACUCUCUCUGAUAGAGCCACAUGACAUAAUUUCUUGUUCCCUUGGAACAUAUUCACCAACAAGUUGACAACGUUAGUCAAAACAAAACCAGAGCUUUGACUAUCUUUAAGCAUCCAUCACCCAAGAUGAAAUAACCUUUUGACUUCUGUGUCGAGUUCAUGGAAGGUGAAGGGAGUCUGUCAACAUUUUUGCCCCACUUCCUCACAGGCUUCUUCUUCAGCUCCCAAGCCCCCGGGCGUCAAUAGCUGAUGGCGAGGAAAGGAAGUAGAAGAAAAAGCAGACACAUAUUAACCCUCCUUUUGGUAAGUCAGCGGCUUUUCCUGACCCAUCAGCUUCCUCUUUUAGCUAUCCAAUGACCAAAGAAGUUUCACUUCUCGACCAAAUGAUUCUCCCACCUCGAACAAUCCACCGAACCUUCCAACCUCCUAUGUCAUUAUUGCUGGAGAUACGUGGAGAACGAUCAAGCAGGGUCUACUGUAAAUACACAUGCCAAGAGAUAGGAGGAUUCUCCGAACCAUGUCAAGUCUGGUGUCUCCUUCCCUUCUCCCCUCGAUCUCUCAUGUUUUGCAUUCGUUUCCGAUAUAAUUUAAAAAAAAAUUAAAAGGUUAUAAUUUUCAAGUUCUAAGAACGGAACUUUUGUAAAAAUCUGAGGGCUUCUUAAAAAUUAAGGAAUUUAUACCAGAUGAAAAUAAAGAAUAAUUAUUAAAAUGAGGAGCACCUGUGGUAUAACAAUCGCAAGAUUAAGAAUACCCAUGGCCAGUCCUGCAUUGAAGAUGUUGUUUCUCAUCCAUCAUUACCCAGGGGAAGUAAUUUUAAUAGAAAACAGUAGAAGAACACAAAGGUGCCCACCUUGGCCAAGACCCAAAGGUUCAGCCCGAGUCGACAUCAUCGCAUAUGGAACACUGUAUGUAAUCUGAAAAGAAAUGGAAUAAAUUUCAUGCCCUGUAGCCACGCCAGCAAGAAGAGAUGAUAAAAAAAAAUGGACAUAGAUCGGAGCACUCACUGCCAGUGGUAUGCCAAGAACUGCGAAAACAACAAGGGCAACAAUGACAAUGCCAUCUGGGGGAAGACCACUCUGUGAAGGCUCCAUAUUAUUGGCCACAAGGGAUAUGACCAGCAUUGCUACGAAGCAUAAAGCCAUAAAAAUAUUUGAUAGCCCCCAGACCAGACCGGCACCCCACUUCCUGCAUAAUUUCUCUAUGCCCAUUGAAGUAAAUCCGAGAAUGAUGGAGUUCAACAUCAAACCAAAUGCCCCCAUCCGAACACCAGAGUGAUAAUUUCGUCCUUGAUUGGGCAGUCCUUUAUAGAUUUCUCGACCCAUCCAAUCCGUAUCAUAAAGAAGGAAGGGAAACCAUCCAAUCCAUGUCAAUGCAGUGACAAUCAGAAUUAUCCAGAUUGGAGAGGUUAGAUAUCUAAAAGAGCCCAAUAGUUCCCAAAUGAAAGCCUCCUCAGUGUCAUCUCCUAUUUGUGCUUCUAUCCCAGAGUGCACCACGUCACCAACAGAAUUUAAAGGAAUUUCACCGGCAGAUGAUAGACUAAUAUAUGUAGUAAAUGUGAGAAUAAUGAUAUCAAGAAUGAAAGCGGAUUUCAGGUUAGCACAGUUUGUGCCGCAAGCUGAAGUGGCAGUGAAAGGGAGGAUGGAGGACCAGCCACUGUAGGAUCCAGUAGCAAAGCCAAGAAUAUUGCCCAGAGCCAUGAACAGAGAGAAAUAUGCAUUUGCAACACGGGUCCUUCUGUGAUCCUUCCCUACAUACAAAUAAAGAAGCCAUAGUUAGAAACAUAACAAGUCUCGCAAAAUUAUCACAUGUGAUAUAGAUUUCAACAUCGCCGAGCACAAACUGUUCAUCUAUGAAAAGAGUUCUAAAUUGAAAAGACACAAAAACAAAAAAAAAGUUUUUCACUUGAUAUUUUGUAUUGUUUUUUCCAUGAGAUGAACUUGUAUUUCUUGCAAUCGAGUGAAAUUUCAAGACAGUCACACUUCAUAGACCUCCGGGCUGGCUUGGUCUCAAAGGCAUUCUCCGAUUGGGGAUAAAUGAGGAUGCGCCUAUGUCUCUGCCAGCUUGGUCUCAAGGCCACACCAUCAUCAUGACAAAUGCCUCAGUUCACACCUGGCAAACACCCUUCCUUCUUAACAGCUGAUAUGGCUCUUCCUUCCUUUUCAACAGAGAUUAUGGUCAUUCUCUGCCCUUAUUUCUUAAAUUAGGAAUCUUUUCUCAUAACUACAUAAAAAUAGACUAAUACACCAUCGUCCAGUUUUGCAUAGUACUAUUUGUCCACUAAUUUGCUUAGUUAUGGCAUCUUUUUGAUGCAUCGGUAUACAUGCUAACGUAUAUUUAAACAUAUGCAAAAAGCUCAUUUAUGCGUUGAAUCUCUUAUUUAUCAUAUGAAUACAGAUGUUUAGCCUAAAACUUUUUCAGUGAACAUAGAUACCAGAGUUUCGCGUAUAGGUCAAAUCUCUGAGAACCUGUUUAGAGGCCCCACCUAUAUCACCUUGUUCAGCAAAGUGCAUCAACAACCUUGGACGCUAGUUUCUCAAUUUAUUGAUGAAAUAACCCACAUAAACGCGUCGAUUUAUUUUCAACAGGUAUAAAUAGUAAAAUCACAAGAAAAAUAUUAAGGAAUGAAAGUUUUAGAUAACAAAAUACAUCUACGAGAUAAAUUAAAAGCAAAGUAAGUGAAAUUUUAUGAAUUUAAAUCCUAAAUCAGCAUUGUGUUUCUAAUAUGUCACUCGUCUACAUAAUGCGAGUGAUAUUACUGACGCAUUGUUCUUCAACAGUGACUAAUCAUUUGUAGUGGAAAUUAUAGAUGCUGCUAGGAUGCCACUUAGCAACAGUAACCCAUGGAGAUGCGUCCAUCAACUUCCUUACAGAAAUCUAAUAUGUCACAAGGAGCGCAAAUUAUCCAAAGAACACAACAUUUGCAGAGGUUUCACUCAUAAUUUUUUGUCAACCGACGCAGAGCAUACCAACAUAUGUCAUAUGCAUUGAUGAUAUUUGCAUGGACUAUAAGAUGAACCUUUCCCUCCAAAGAGCAAAGAACAAAGGAUAUGGAACAGAACAGCAACGAUCAACAGCAAAGAAGAUUUUUCCCAUCAAAUCCCAGCUUUGUGAAGAGUGGACCAGUUUCUCAUACAUUUGUACCUUUUCUGCAUUGGGUUACUGAUAUUAUUGCUAAUCCAUUGUACGAGUUAUUUGUACCGAGGGUUCGAAUCCCUCUCUCUCCGUUUUCUUUGUUUGUGAUAUUUUAUCAUAUCAUAGUUAAAUAUAUGGAAUUAUUUAAUAAUAUUUAGAAAAAUCAAGGAGAAAUUAUAAAAAUCUCUUAUUUUUUUAUUCCUCGCGCCCAGGAUUACGUCCUGGGUCAUUAGAUAAAAAUCCGAAGAUGAAGAGAGAAACAAAGAAUAUCACUACUGUGUAAACGAAAAGUUUGAUGGUAAGCAUUACACAAUCUCCAAGAUAGGAUCAUUUUUGGGGUAACAUUGAGGAACGUAAUCAAGAUUCUGUAAUGGUUAAAACCUUUAAAUAGAUGUGAAUAAAUCUAUGCGAUUUUGGCAUGGCAUUUCAGUGAUUCCAUCAAAUAUCUCUUACAAAGUGGGAAGGUCAUCCAUCAACUCUCAGAAACCAGAGUCCCGAUCUCAUAAAACAGUGCCCCAUUGUUGUGGUGUGUAGUGGGGGGGGGGGGGGGGGGGGGGAUGUGCAUUAUUCUUAAUUCUAAAUGCAAAUGCUAGCCCUCUAAUUUGGUUUUUUUAUGCUCACUCGACUGUUUAUUUGGAAAAAUAUCCUGACAAAACUAGCUCUUCAGUAAACAAUAAAAACACACCAUGCGGAUUAAUCGGAUUAAAAGAUGAGAAAAAAAAGAUAUUCAACUUGCACUAAAAAGAUAUGCUAGUCAUUACGGGCAUGUAUUUCAUAUUUUCUAGUCAACAAAAGAGACAUCAGUAUUUUAAAACCCACCCAUUUAUUCAAUUAUAGCAUACCAGUGACCUCAGAUUGCUACAACAACUACCUAAUAUCCCGUUACUAUUGACAAUUAUUCUCGUCUCAUAAGUGCCAAAUUCCCCACUAGAUACUAUAGAACAUCAUUAAAAAAAUUUGGGUGCGGCAGGAUUUUAAUGGUUUAUGAGCAUGAAGUAAUAAAACAGAAUUUGCUUUCCUGCUUCAGUAAACUGUUCAGGAUUGUCAGAUAAAGAAUUGCCUUUAGUUACAAUGCAAACAAGUUAACAAACAGCACAACGUGAAAUCUCUGGGGCGUUUCAUCGACACCUACUCUGUUCAAACACCCUUGAUUUACAUUCGCAAAUAAUCGAGAAGGAUUUGUCCAAAUGCACUGAAAAUUAUACCUUACUUUCUAAACUCCUUUUGCUCUUCCUUCUUCAUAUGUCUCUACUCCCUUUAAUCACACUGGCACUCUACACAUCUUUUUCUUAUUAUUUUUCAGAAUAAUUAAAAUGUAACCCUCAGAUUUUUGUUAUGAUCAACUUGGGAUUAUCACUGCGAAUCAAACCCAUUUGCGUCCCUAUUACACAUGAGGCCGCGUCACAAUCAUUAAGUGCCACACACUUCAACUAGAGUUCUUAAGAUUCUGAUGCCACAAUCUAUGAAGAGGUAAAUUAAAUUUUCCAAUAAAGAUAAGACGCACUUGACCAUACACCCAUUUGAGUAGGAACCAAAUCACUUACAAGCCGCGAUUGAACCUGUGAACCAAAAUGUUUCAAAUUUUUCCGUUCUGCACUAGAACAAGUUGCCCAACCUCAGUUACAACAUCCAGAGAUCUUAUAGCACAAUACAACUUUGAACAUGGCCAUUAUUUAUAUACUAAUGGUGCGUGCACCGCCAUCAGAAAUUAUGUUCUUUUAUGUCGAUAACCACCAAGCUUAUGGUCAGUUCUAAGAACCUCAUAAAUGAGGGUCUUCCUCUUUAACUUGCAUAUUCCAUUUACCUAACAGGAGGGUAUUUUACCAAGCCUCCCGUGCACAAUCUUUAAACACAGGAAAACACGGGCAACAGGAUCGUCAGGAGAUUACCCCAAACAUAUAAGACCAAAAUGCUAUUUUUGUCUCCAUAAUCUCAUCAACCAUUUAAAAAGAAGUUGCAGAAAAAAAGCAUUUUACCUAAUUCUUUCUAUGAAUCUCCACCGUAGACCGUAUCCCCAAUGCGCAGAAACGAGGGGAAGGAGAAAAUUCUUCUCGUCAAGAAAUUAAAACCGCCCACUAUGGCACCACUGAUGGCAUCCUCGAGUGUGUUGGCAGUAAAAAAUUGUGAAAGGUCGUCUAGAACGGAUGCUGAUCAGCAUCGCGUUUAACAAGACUAUUUAUUCUAGUGACAGAACCCUUCUGACAGGAUUGAAACUCAUUGGCAUACUUAAGUAUGAUGUAACACUUUCCAAAAAAGAUAGUCCCAUCCAAUCCAGCACUGGAUUCGGACCCAUAUGCAUAUUAUAACAGCCAUGGGUUUUAUGACGGUGACAGCUUUGGCUGACAGAGCCAUGAAAGCGCCAUCCUGUGGAAGGAGAUGAAGGAGAUGAAAAAAGCGAAGACAUUCUUUUCACAUAAGGAGGCUAGAACAGCACUACCCGCAGUCAAAGUCACUCAUAUCCCUAAUUUUUUUAUAUAGAAUAUGACUAUGACAUCAUUGGAAAAGGCAAGUAAAAAAAUACGCACGACAUGAACUUGCCAAAAAAAAUGGGCAUGACAGAUCUUCUACAUGCGAGGGAAGAUGUACGAGACACUGCACCGUCCUCGUGCAACAGAGACCACACUGGAAGAGGGCGAGAGUAGGAGGCACUCGAGGUGAAGAAUGGUCGGAAAAUGGCCGAGCAGAGAAGAGAACGGCUGUCGUGCAUAUAAGCUGAGGCCUAGGAGAAGUACCAGGGAAUGGCACAGUCAUGAGUGAUCCCAAGUGGGAGACAAGAGAAGAAAGAAGCCGCAAGGCUGGAUACGUUCCUCGUCCAUCGAUGAAGGAACCAGAGAAGGUGGCCUUCAAGUCUAAUGAAUAUACCCUUACACUGUAGAAAAAGAACGCGACUUGCCUUGCUGGGCUGUCCAAGAAUUCAGUUUUAUGGAGGUGGUUGGCCCGUAGGUGCGCCGCCGCGAACGGCGGCUUGCAGGAGACAGGAACUAGCAAAGGCAGGGUAGAGAGAGAGAGAGAGAGAGAGAGAGAGAGAGAGNNNNNNNNNNNNNNNNNNNNNNNNNNNNNNNNNNNNNNNNNNNNNNNNNNNNNNNNNNNNNNNNNNNNNNNNNNNNNNNNNNNNNNNNNNNNNNNNNNNNNNNNNNNNNNNNNNNNNNNNNNNNNNNNNNNNNNNNNNNNNNNNNNNNNNNNNNNNNNNNNNNNNNNNNNNNNNNNNNNNNNNNNNNNNNNNNNNNNNNNNNNNNNNNNNNNNNNNNNNNNNNNNNNNNNNNNNNNNNNNNNNNNNNNNGAGAGAGAGAGAGAGAGAGAGAGAGAGAGAGAGAGAGAGAGAGGAGGAACGACUUACCAGUGAGGUCGGCGAGGAGGGCGCGGGCGGGGCCCUGGGUGACGUUGUUGGCGACGUCGAGCAGCCAAAACCCUAACACAAAGAUGGCGAUGGCACGGGGACGGCGAGGGCCGCGGUCACCGAGGAUCCUACCGAGGUCGGUAGAGUGGCCGAUGAGGAGGACUGCGACGGCGAUGGAGGCGGCGCCGCCGGCGAUGAAUGGCCUUCUGCGGCCGAAGCGGCUGGUGCAGCGGUCGCUCGUGUGGCCCACCAGGGGCUGGACUAGAAGGCCCGAAAGCGGCCCGCAGAGCCAGAUGAGGCUGGACCAUACGUGGGGGAUGCCCAGCUCCUGCACGUAGGGGGUGAGCAGGGAGAGCUGCAGGGCCCAACCAAACUGCACCCCACACGACACCGAUGCCACCCGCAGCAGCCGCUUCAGGGGCACCCUCGGCGGCGCCGGCGCCGGCGCCCUGAUGGCAGUCCCAUUGGCCGCGCUGUGCCUCCCGGGCACUGUCAUCGCACGCGUCCUCCUCUCCCCCUCAGCCCAGCUCCUCUGAAGCCGAGACGGCAAAAAAAAGUGAGCGACUUUGGAUGGUCGAUGGAAAAACGGUGAGCCCUGAUCGAGAGAACGAGGGAGAAAUGAUCUUCUUUCAACCAGUGAGGACUUGAUAUUAAAGAGAGAGAGGAGGGACCUCCAUGUUUACGUGUCGCCACCGCCGGCAGCCGCAGGUGUCAUCCAGAGCCACGCCGAAGUGGAGAAGACGAGACUAGGCGAAGCCCAUCACGGUCGCGGAUGCCAUUGGCUGGCGGGGAUACCCCCAAGCAACCUCAUCAUCAUCAUCAUCCACCAUCCUCCGGCGUGAACACCAUUGCUGACCGUCUACGGCGG
This 68904-nucleotide long non-coding RNA is filed under the name Spirodela polyrhiza (greater duckweed). RNAcentral's name for it is "long non-coding RNA (SPOL_LNC001318)". Lineage: Eukaryota; Viridiplantae; Streptophyta; Magnoliopsida; Alismatales; Araceae. The record is from RNAcentral.